This 48745-nucleotide long non-coding RNA is filed under the name Zostera marina. Lineage: Eukaryota; Viridiplantae; Streptophyta; Magnoliopsida; Alismatales; Zosteraceae. The record is from RNAcentral.
UAUUUGAUUCGUGUCCCCACUCAUUGCACCUAUAACACUUGAUAUUGGUAUUUCUCUGAUCUGAACCCUUGUUAAUUCUCACAUCUUACAGACUCUCAACAUUAAGUCUUCUGUCCUCAGGUGUAGGUAGCAAGGUUUAAAAACCGGUUAACCGGUAACCAGUUCUGGCUUACCGGUUUUCCGGUUAGACCGGUUAACCACCGGUUAACCAGUGGUUAACCGGUAGGGGUAUUUUCGUAAUUUUUUAAAAAAAACAGAAAUUAUGUUAUAUACUUAUAUAUCUAUUCCAUGUUUAUAUCCAUGUUUAUAUCCCUGUUUAUAUAAAUAAAAAUAUCAUAAACAAUAUAGUAAUUCAAAAUAGUCAUUCAAAAUAGUAAUGCAAAUAAGUAAUUAAUUCCAUAAUGUAAUUCAAAAUAUCCUAAGCCUAAGAUAUCUAGAUAUCUAGAUAUCAUCAUUUUCUACGUUUUGAGCCCUCCUUGUGUAGGCUCCAAGUCUUUCAUGUAUUCCCAUAGCCUCCUCUACUGUAGCCCAAGUGAGUCCAUCAUCUGUGUACACAAACUCAUUUGAUGAUCCUUCAAUUCCAGUCAUCCAUUUACUAGAGAAGUUCAAUUCUUCAAGGCAUAUGAGAUCAUAUUUGAUUGCACCUUCCUCUUCAAGUAGUUUAGCCCUUUCACUUCUUUCAUAGAGUUUUGCGUUGUAAUUUACGAACACUAGAUCAUUGAGUCGAUUCGCCUCAAGCCUAUUUCUUUUUUUUGUAUGAAUCUACAAAAAAAUGAAAUGGAGAAAAUUAUAAAUGAAUGUACUCCAUUCAAUCAUUUCAUGACUCACACAAUUGACUAUUUAAGUGACUCACAAAUUCGAAUGUACUCCAAUUAUGCUCGCAGCUAGAGGCAGAGGCACACAAUCCAAGUAUUCUCAUAGCUAUAGUUUUCAACUCGGGUGUAGAAACCCCAAUGGUAUCCCACCAUAUUACUAAAAAAAAUUCAGACCUUGAAUGUCAUUAAAAAUUCAGAAUUUGAAUUCAUACUCUAAAAUUCAUAAGAAUUUCAGAAUUCUUACCUGGAUCUAUAAACGUCGAAGAUUUGAUAGCCAAGGCAUUUCCAAACCUUCCAUGUUUAUUUUUGUAGAGGGCUGAAUCAAACACAAUUUUAGUUCGAAGAUCCACAUCCUCAAUCAUUCUUUCCAUACAAUCCUCAAAAGCUUCUUAACAAGCAUUGGCAUCCGGAUCAAGCGAGCUAAAAAAAAUUUAGAAUUUUAGAGUGAUGAAAUUAAAGUAAUGUUAUUUAAUUUCAUUAGUACCUUCUUAGCUCAUAAAAUGAUUUUGGAUUCAGAAAUGCACCCGUUUUAAAAAGAGGACUUUGAAAAUGUUUAUCCCAUCUUCUUUCCAUGAUCUCCCAGAUUGGCUUGUAGUCUUUUUCCACAUUGUUGAAAUUGUUCUUAACACCUUCCUUUGCCAUUUUGAAACCCAUGUACACAUAACCCAUGACAGGUUUUCUUUCUGCAUCUACCAACCUUAGCAAUUCCACAAGUUGUUUUGUAGCUCGACAGAAAUCCUCAAGUGCCUCCCAAAAUAAAGAGUUGAUCAUCAAUCUUUGGACAGCAGUGUUGUUACCUUUGUUCUUGUACUUCUCCCAAUUGAAGUGUUUCAAAACAUCCUUUUGUUCUUUCAAACUUUCCAAUGUUAGGUAUGCAGAUGCAAAUCUAGUAACGCCACAACGAAUAAGUUCUUUGUUCUUUGAAGCCACUAGGAAAUCACUAUGAAGGUUCGUGUGGUUGUAGAUGUAGGUAGUGAUUUUCCUUGCAUUUUUGACAACUUUGGCAUAUUUUGGGAUUUUACCGACAUCCUCAAUUGUCAAAUCCAACACAUGUGCUACGCAAGGAGUCCAAUACAAAUGUUUGUACUUAUCCAUUAGCAUCUUUCCAGCCAAGACAUAGUUGCUUGCGUUGUCGGUACAAAUUUGAACCACAUUCUUCACUCCAACCUUUUGCAUUGCAUCGUCAAGAGUUUUGGCAACGUAAUCGGCAGUUUUUGUUUCAGAUGAUGCAUCGAUUGAAUGCAUAUAGAAGGUCCCCGCACAAUUGAAUUCACUAAGAAGUUGAUAAUACUUCUGUUGCGUCCAUCAGUCCAACCAUCUGAUAUCAGUGUACAACCCCCACGUUUCCAAGCCUCCUCAUGUUUUUUCUGAAUUUCUUUGGUUUUUGUAACUUGUCUCUUGAGAAGGGGUACUCUCAAUUGAUACAUUGAAGGUGGCUUAUAGUUUCUGUCAUAUCUACCAACGGCCUCAAGCAUGACCUAUGACAUUUAUUUAAGAACUGAUUACGUAAAAAUCAGACUUAAUAAAUCAUGUUAAAAAUUGAGAAAACUAAUUUCAUACCUCAAAAAGUGGAUUACGAACCACAUUGAAAAGAAUUCCACUAGAAUAAAAAAAUUCAGCCACUAUGUCAUCCACAAUAAUCUUGGCUUCCUUUUUCAUAUGAUCUUCAAUUGAUGAUUGUUUCGACUUGGAAGUAUUCCUCUUUCGAACAACGUCGUGGACUGUUUCGUUGUCUUCCAAACCCAAAGCAUUCAUCUUCUUUAAUAAUCCAGAUGUUGAUGGCUUGUUUGAUCCUAGCACACUUGAUUUUGAAGUCGAAAUUGUUUUAUGCGAUUUCUUUGAUUUCUUCUGCAAUUUGAUGAUAUCGAUGAUGGGAGCCUUGUCUUUCCUCUUCUUUUUCCCCAUAUAUUCCAGCAAUUCAUUUGCAAUCGCAAUGGUUGUAUAAUGACAUUUUUGAACAUUAUUUGUACCGUGAGUAUCUCCGGUAAGAUGUUCCUUCAAGCGUCCUAUUCCACCACUGUUGGUUUUUCCACAUAAAAGACAUUGUACUUGAUAGGACUUCGAGAAGUCGUUGAUUACUCCAUAUUUCCAUGCCAAAUCUGUAGAUUUAGUAGGUCUUUUCAAUUUAUCCGAAAUUACCUCCAACGGUAUGGAUUUGUGGUACACAACAUUAGGAUCUGGUUGAAAACGAAUUUGGGCAGCAACAGUGGCUGCAACAUCAGGAAUAGGGUCAGGCCUUUCAGCUGUAGUGGCUGCAACAUUUUCAGCAGUAGUUGCUGGAAAUUCUGGAAUAGACUCAGCUGUAGUGGCUGCAACAUUUUCAGCAGUAGUUGAUGGAAUAAAAUUGACUUCUUCGCUGUCCAGCAACUCUAAUUCAUCUUCUAAUUCAUCCAAAUCGAUACGCACAUCAUUUCCAGCUUCAUUUUCACUAGAAUGACUGGAUUCUUCACUUAAACAAAGUACAUAAUCGCUGGAUUCUUGGGAAGACAUGAUCGAUGGAGUAGGAUAAUAUUUCAGAUCGUAGGAAGUGAAGAAAAUGUCAGACAAAUGUGGAGGAAAAGAAGAAGAAAAAAUUCUGAUGGUGGAGAAUCAAAGAAAUGUGAAGGAGAAGAAGAAGGAAAAAAAUUCUAAUGGUGGAGAGUGGAGGAGAUGUGGAGGAGAAGAACUGAAAAAGAAUUAUAAGGACAAAGGAGGCAACGGCUAGGGUUUCAAAGAAUAAGAUUUAAACUUAUAAGGAGUAAGAUUUAAACUUAUUAAAAUAAAGCCUUGAAAUGAGGCUUUAUUAAAUGAAAUAUAAUGGGCUUUAUUAAAUAAAGCCCAUAAGUGAAACAUUUAAAAACGAGACGGGUAACCGGGUCGGGUACGGGUCAGACCCGACCCAUCGACCCAUUUACCCGUCCCAAGUAACCGGUCACCGGUUAGCCGGUUAACCGCCGGUUUUUAAACCUUGGUAGGUAGUAGUCCUUUCUCAACUGGUGAGUUGACCUUCCUGUUAGAUGGCCCUCCUACAAAUUUGGUAAACCUCUCAGUCCUUCUGUCUAAAUGAUCAGACACUUUGAUGGUAUCCAUUAAUGAAAACUGAGGUUGCAUUAUCAGUUUCUCUUGGAAUUUGCCCUUUAAUCCUUGGACAAACCUUACUAUCAACUGCUCUUUUGUCUCAUUUAGAUUGUUUCUAUAAGACAGUUUAUGAAAUUCUUUGGCAAAGUCACCAACGCUCCUAUUUCCUUGACAACACUGAUGAUACUGAGUGAACAAAAUGCCUUCAUAGUCACUUGGUAAAAACCUCUGUUUAAGAAGUUUUUUUAAUUUUUGCCAAGUCUAAACUGACCUCUGAUUUGCUCUUCUUCUGUUGGUAACUGUCUAGUCCCACCAAGCAGAGCUAACCCUUUGAAUCUUAAGACAACCAACUUGACUCGUUUGAUAAUGGGCAACCCAUUUGAUGUGAGUUAAGAAUUCCUUAAGAGGAAUGUGAAUUGGCUUGACUAAAGUCAAGCCAAUCAUAGCCCAAUCGAGAAUCCUUUACUUCAUUCAUCACAAAGUUAUAAUGCUCUGAGGAUGCAGUGAUAAUAGGGUUUUCUACUGCAUCAAAACCUUAACCCUAAGCUUUGGACAUCAAUAGUACACCGGACCACUGGCUACUACUUGUGAUAUGCACAUCAACUCGUAGUCACAGUGCACCUCGCAUGGAGACUCCAAGAUGGAAGAAGUUUGCCGCAUUGGGGUGUGGAACUUGAUCGGACAAGACAGAGCUGGAGAGACAAUGAAGGAUUCGUAGGGUUCCCCCAAUUAACCCUUGACCCCCCCUUAAAUGAGUCCCCUUAUCCUUAUAAAUUAGUCCCCCCAAUUAACCCUUAACCCCCCAACUGAAGUUGACUUAGGAAAAAAUUAAAGAAAGGAUAGGAUAUUUCAGGCAAUCCACAUUUAGAAGGUUUAAACUGAAACAAAUACUCAAAAAUUGGGCUGAAAUUUCAACCCAUGCAAAAUUGAGCCACUUUGAACAAAACAUCAGCUGACAAGGGCUAAAAUAUAUUUAUCCCUAAAAGUUAUCUGCAAAAGCAAUGCAAAGUGAAAAAUGGUGGGUUUUUUUAUACUAAAAUUUGUCUUACAAAAAAUCUAAAACCAUCAGAUUUACAUACAAUUUUUUAUAUAAAUCAUCGAUCAAAAAACACAAUCUCACAAUCCUUUCAUUUACAAAGUAGAUGCUUAAUUGUCUCAUUUGGCAACAAACAUGAACUACUGUCCACUACACUGAAUGCAAAGUUUAAAGCUGCAAGCUGUAAUAAUCUAUAUUUGACUUGAUAACAGGAAUUUUUUUUGAAGGGGAUAUCAUUCCAGAUCAGUAGAUGAUUUUUGAUCCAUUUUUCUUCUAGAUACCUCCCACAAUUGUUGCUCAAUCCCAAGCUUCCUCAGCUCUAUUAAACCACGCUCCACUGAGAUGUAACAGAUGACACAAUCCAGUUACAUUUUUAAAAUAAAUUGUAGUUUGUAGCUAUGAAUUUCAUUUAUGAUGAUGUUAUUGAAAGGACUAUCUAUUCUACAACAUACAAACAGUUACUGAUGAUGCAAGAGAGGUUGUCAAAAAAAUCUCUAGAGACUCAGACGAUGAGAUAAUCUAUCAUAUAUCAAGUUCUACUGACAUUUUCAGGAUACAUCUACCGUUGAUUUUCAUUUAAGGCAUUGGAUACAAUUUGAAGAAAUAAUUAACAAUAUUUACCUAAUUAAAUUCAUGUCCAAAGUAGAAUAUAAGAUUAUUGCAUCCCUGAAUCUCUGAUGUUUAUUUCAAGUUUUGGUGUUUAGAACUCAAAGAAAUGGAUUGACAUAUAAAGCGACAUUUUGAACCCCAAAAAUAAAUAAAAAUACUUUUCAAAACAAGCAUCGGAAGCAAAGACUAAAUAUCAGAAUUUACCAUCAACAGCAUCAUGUGCAGUUGGUGUCUGACCACUACGACUAAUCCAAAAUUGUAAUCGCUCAUCAGCAAUGUCUUCUUCGACCCCUUUAGUUUUUGCUUUUUCCCAAAAAUAUGUAAGCCACGCCUGGAAAAUAAUAUUAUAAAACUUUAGUGAAUAUUUAAGAAAAGCCAUGAAGAAGCAUUGGUCAAAGGUCAUACAGUUAGGCAUACAAUAAAGAAAGGAUAAAACACAAAUCAAAAUUGCAGUUUUAAAAAUAACAAAAGUCGUAAAUUAACUUAUUUUAUAAGCUUUUUCCUAGGAGCAAAUCCAGUAAUUGAGACAUUGUGAGAGAAACUAGAGAGUAUUCGCACUUCAUCAAAAAAUGUUAAUUAGUGGUAGGGAAUAUGGCUUUGAGUUUCAUCAGAAAAAUUACCUCGUAAUCAGUUAUCUGUACUUACGAUAGUUCAUCCUAUCAAAUUUUAAUCUAGUUUAUCCAUCAAAAACUUGAUAUUCUAAUAAAAAACACAGCACUGUAAAAAUAAAGAAUUGACCUGCCACCCAGGCAUAAAUUAUAAAUAACAAAAUCCAUCACUCUACUUGUUAACCUUCAAGUGAAAAUAACAUAAUAUCAACAUAGAGACAUACAGUUGGUAUACCACUUCGCCUAUUCAAACAAUAAUCAAUUGUCAAUCCACUUCAUGCAAAAAGUGAAUAAGGAUUUAUAAAUUAUAAAAAAGGAAGUAAACAGUGAGAGCCGUUCAGAAAAUCUCAAUUUUAUUAGCUGGAGAAACAAGAAAAUAAUCGUAAGAAAAACCAACCUGUUUGAAAGAAACAUCCUCUAGUUCCUCAAGACUUAGCUCUACAAGUAAUUCAGAUUAAGUUAGAAUUCUUACAAAUUCUGGAGAGGGAAAUAUAUUAAGUUAUAUGGUUUUCAAAGUUACCAGAAAAAAAAAACUAAAGAGAAAUGAUAGAACUACAAGCAAACAGCUAUAGCAUAUAAUUUAUUCCACCGAAAAUACACUUUUCUUUUCAAAAAAUAUGUUUACCUAAUGCUUCCAUAAAAUUUAGGUUUCCGGGUUCCUUGGGAUCUAAAUAAAAAGGAUAGAAGAUAUAGUUUAGACUUUAAAGUAUAGGAUAAUGAAUCUGUAUACUGAAUUUGAAAUUUAGAAAAAAAUAAUGUCAAGAAUAAGUCAUCAAUAGAAUGACCUGAGACAGAUUGUUGUGUUAAUUUAUGUUGACGACGAUGAGCCAUUAUUAGUACAACAGCAUCCUCCACCUAAUUUACAGAAACCCCAAAUGAAUGCGAAAAUGAACAUUCAAAGAUAUUCGAAACCAAUUAGUUCAGUGAUCAAAGUCCUCUUUUGUGAUACAAGAGAGGGUUUAAAAUCCAAGGAUUUCGAAAAAUUAGACCAAGAAGAACAGUAAAACAAAUACAGAAAUAACAUGCAAGACCCGAACAAGAGUCCUCAGAUAAAGAUUGCUAUAAUCAUAAGGCGGAAAAAACACUGAAAGGAGUUGGAAUAGAUUGAAUUGUAGUAUAAGCAACCUUUAAAGAAGCUAACUCUCUUAAACCUUGCUCGACAGAAAGCAUGCUCUCGAUAUUGCCUUCUCCAGUUACGUCACCCAAGUCAUCGACGACUUUAUUCCUCUCAAUAUUGUCAUCACCUGUUUACACUCCAAACAAAAUUAUAGAAUGAAAAUGUACACCAAGAAUGUAUUAAAUAUUAUCAUCUACUUUACUGUAUUAAUAAUGCUUUAUCAUCUACUUAACUUUAUCAAUUAUGUUUUGUACACGUGACAUCAUGACAAAAUCCAAAGGUAUCAUAAAUUAUAUUUAAAUGAGGUAAAAGAUAAGAAAAUCAUGGUAUGGACAGAUUGUUAAGUUGCCUAACCUCCAUGUCGAGACCCUUCCUUCGCUUUUUGUCCAGCAGAAAGGACGACCUCAAGGGGUAAGGGGGCUAAGGAAGACCAAUACUCAUGCUUUGAUACAGCAAUAUCAGGAUACACACCUAAACUUUUCAAAGAGCUAAUUAUAAUAGGAUUUAGGAAAGUAAGGAAAAUGGCCAAAUUAAAAUUAGCAAUUCAAAACAUGAAUUACGAAGAUUAGUUAUUAAUUAUACUUAUUUGUGGUGUUCAAAUUUGAAAAUAAUGUUCAUUUGAUGUUUUCGGAAAAAAAUCGGUUGUCAUGUCAAAGUAAUCAUUGAAGUGUCCAGAUCUUUAAAUUAGACAACGAAAAAAAGAUUAGUUAGACUAUUACUAUUAUUAGUUAUAGAUGUUCUAUUAAUUUGAUCUUAGUUAAACACAAAAUUUCAAACAGAAGGGAACUACUAGAUCCUCCACUAGAUGAUAACUUUCUUUUUUUGAGAAUUUAGACAAAACAAGAUCUAACAUCAAAUAAAAACAAAAGGGUAUUACCAAAUUGAAUAGCCAAAGCCCAGUAACGAGAAAGCCAGCACCUUUUGAGAACUACUUCCUCCUGAAUUAUAUUAAAGACCAAAUAGCAUUACUAUUUAUUUUCCAUUUUAAACAAACAUAAUUUUAAGUUGAUACUUGAAUCUGAGAAUGUACCAACUCUUCUUGGGUUAAAAUCAUUUUGUCUGUUACAGAAGUGAGGGUUUCUACUUCAGAUUGAGCACAUUGGAGUUGCUUUUUGGCAUUUUCAUAUUCUUCUUUUGCAGACUACAUGCAAAGCAAAGUAACAUAUACAAAUCCAUAGAUGAGUCCAAUCCUUAUGCAGGAGCAUAGAAUAUAUGAUCAAUUGUUAAUUGUUGCAAUCACCUCCACUUCUUGUUGAAGAGAAACUAUCUCGUUAUCUCUAUCACUCUUGUUCUGUUCGUCAAACUGACGAGCCAAAGCAGCCUGCAGAAUAAAUACAAUUAGAGAACUCAAAAAAGUAUUUUUUAUUAUAGUGUCAUAUUGGGUGCAGCAGUGUCUAACAUUUCACUAUUCUGGAGUAUUGAGGUGAAUCAUAUUAUUAUAAUAAUAAUUGAUACACAAACACGAUCAUAAUGUUAGCCAUAUAGUUAGUACAUGUCAGGGAGGAUACACAGUGAAUCAAGAUUCAAUUCAUUAUUGUAUGCUUUGCGUACUAAUCUGCAGUCAGAUUUAUCUUAAGCAUAUCAUUGAUAGUUUUAAUCAUUAUCUUGAUAAAUUGUUUCCACUUUCCAUGCUUUCAAUAUAGAAUACCUCUCUUUCACGCAACAAUGCUUCCUUCCUGCAAAUUAUUUGCUUAAGAUGUCAUCAUUGACUCGCAAAAACCAUGUAUCUACGUAAUACAAAUCAAAGAAAUAAAGAAUUACCUACUCAGUAGCUUGUCUUCAACAGACACACCAGCUCCGAGUGAAGCAACCUGUGAGAUACUGAUUGCAUUAAAAGGGAAUACAAGCAAUGCACAGUGAUUAGAUUAACAUGCCUUACCAUUAACAAAAAAUAAUAAGAAGAUGCACAUAAGAUUAAAGUUUGUUUAACAAAUGAUAUGGCUAUAUUUAGCUAAAUAAUCUUAAUUGUAAUUCUAAUCAAUUCUUAAGAUAUUCAUAUUCUAAUUAAUUAAGUUACCUAACGAUGGGUAAUGUACUUUCUAAAUCUAGCAUAUUCACAAAAAUUUGGAGUUGGGCAACUCUUGUAAAUUUCAAAUUUUCAAUAGGUAUUCAUAUUAAUUAAUUGGUGCUAAAAUUUAAUAAAAUAUAUAAUGAGGAAUAUUUGCAAAUGGGAUUAAUCUAACAUCCACUGCCCUGUAAUGUACAUGGGUUGCAAUAUUGCAUUAAUUUUUCAAAAGAUACUUUUUUUAGUAUAUAAAAUGUUAAACAUGAACCAUGAAAAAUGAAAGGUAGUUGUAAGUUAAGGCCCAAGUGAGGAAAAGGUUAGUACAUCUAUGGAAUUGAGUGACCCUUAGGCCAAAGCAUACUUCUAAAUAGCACCGCUAUAGCGGCUUGGCAGGGCAUAGCGACCAUCUCUAUGCCUUAACCGGAUCUCGGGCGGAUAAAAUAAUUAAAAACUGAAUUAGGGCUCCCCAAUGGGAAUUUCUUCCCACGAACUCCUCUCCAGCCAGUCAGACCACCUCCGAGCGACCUCCGGCGAGCUCUAACCUAACUCCCUCCUCUUCUGCGAUUUCCGGUGAUUUGCUUCCAGUGAUCAGAAAUUGAUAUCCAUCUUCUUUUGCUAGUAAAAUCAUUUCCUUUAGUUUGUUUAAUCUUUUUAAAAUUUUCUUUUUUACAGGUAUUGAUUAUUAAAUACUUAUAUUUAUAAGUAGAAUAUGGCGAAAAAAAUAUAAAAAUAUAAAACGCUAUAGCUCUGAUGGCGAACGCUACGCCGUUAUCAUUUAGAAAUAUUGUCCAAAGAGGGAUCAACUAGGUAUGUUGAUCGAACACUAACUGAAUCAAGCUUACCUAAUUGCAGAUUGGGUGACCCAAAUGAAUCACAUGCAGGCCAGUUUAAACACCAGAUAGGAACCAUUAGGGGGUCUUGACCAGAUUGUCUGGUCAAACCCUAGCCAUGUCAUUCCUGGAAAGGGCUUGAUUGGGGAACCCAGAUCGAAUCAGCCAAUAUGGCCUAUGACUGGUUAAAGCCUCGAAUAACUUCCAGACCUUUAUAAAUGGAGGGUUACUGCUUCAAAUGAAAUGUUACUUCACUUGACUCCAGAAAUAGAAUGUGUGUUCUAAUACGCAAACCCCCAAACAGAAGACAGGAAUAAAGCAUGCACCAAAGACCUCGGAUCCCCUCAUCACAAAUCCUAAUAGUCAUUACUCAUUCGUGAUUUAAUUACGACAACCCAACUUGUUCCAGACUGUAUAUAUGGUGUUCUGGCUAGACUGAGGCCAAAUAUCAUUAUGUAGGCUCAAAAAAUGUUAGACCUCCUGUAAUUAACUAAGUCGCUAUAAAAUAUUACAUGGUUAUCCGUUAUUGUGUAGGAUCUUAACUUUUCAAUACCUAAAACAUUUUUUCUUCAAAAAUUUAAAGAAUACAGCUUUGUGAUAGACACCAAACAAAUCCUCAACCGUAACCUAUGCAUAAUGCAUGACGAAUUGGCCAUAUAUAUAACAAAAAUAACCUGUUUUUCAAGCUGAUGAGCCCUUGCCUCUGCUUUCUCAUAUCUUUCUUCUGUAAGGCGGAGCUAAGUAGAAAAUGCUAAAAAUCAACACCAACAGACCAACUACCAAAUGUCGCAAAAGGAAGUAUGGAACACUUAUCUAGGUAAAAAAAAGACCUUUUCGGUAAUCUUUUCAUUCUCUUCAUGUAGUAUCUCAAUCUGCAAAUUGAAUCGGAGUUGGUUCAAAUUAUAGAAUAUUUGAUUACAUUUUUUCAUUAAUUAAAGUUCUCAAUGGUAACAAGUAAACAACAACAUCUUACAAUCAUGUAGUGGAGGAUUAUGAAAGAACUGUAACUCACUAUUUGCCAGAAUAAAGUUUAUAUAUUGCAAGUAAAUUCCUCAAAAGAGAAGAUAGUCAAACAAAAAACAGAAAUGAUUCAUAUAAUCAAAAUUUGUACCUCAUCUUCAAAAGAGUCGCUUGCCAUUGAUGGUAUUAUAUUUAGUCGUGUUUCAGUUUUUAUAUUUGGGUUAUCAGGUUGAUGGAUUCGGAUACUGGGAGAAGGACGAUAUAUCAAAGUCUCUGAAGUGAGUAUCGGUUUUGAUGAAAUUACAAGUGGUGACUUAUUUUCUGUCUCUUUGUUGAUUGGCUGAUCCAAAAGCGAUGACAAUUUUUCACUGGAUGAAGAAUGGACAGAUGAGUUAUCCUCUGAGAGUUGCCGUUUUUUCUAAUUAAAAGAAGAAGAUGACAAAUCAGUGAGUUUCUGAGCUGAAAAAGAAGCAAAUCUCUAAUGUAGAUACAAUUAUACAAACAUGAAAUCUAAAUUAGCUGUUUAAAGACAAGAGAUGUAAACUCCACUCUAAACUUCAAAUGAUUAAAUAAAGAUAUAGAAGACAAAAAAGCAAACCUUAUAAUCAAAUUGCUUAGGUUUAUAAUUCGGUGUCACCUUACUUGCAACUGUAAAUACAAUCAAUUAAAUAUCAACUCCGAUUAAUCAAAUAAAUAAUAAAUCCCAUUAAGCAUAACAUUUGGCCACAGGAACCAUACCAGAUGAAGGGGUACCCGCAUCCCUAAUCCUAGUAGAAGGAUUAAUCUUCUGUGGCCUUUUAUAUAAAGGUAUGGUUAAAUGAAUGUCUCCAACCCCGUCCUCGUCGUCCUCAUAAUCGUCCGCUGCAGGGGACUUCAUGACAUCGGCUAGUCUCUUCGCAGCAUCGAUGGCUGCCUGCUUCUGCAUCAUAUUAACCGUCGUCAUCCCAUCCGGUGUCGUCCUCGUCCUAUGGCUUGGGCGAGCGGGCGAAGAAGGAUUGUUCGAUCCUGCAAUAGGCUGCCGCGUGCGCGUCCGGUGACUCAUCGGAAAGAAGAAGAAGAAGAAAGAGGCGUAGAACGACGAGGGUCGAUCGUAUUAUUCUGGUGAAACGGUUGACUUGAGAUGGUCGUGCUUCUGGAGUCCGGAGUCGUACUUGGGGUUGAACCGUUGAGGAAUUUAAAUGGAAAUCACAUAGUUCAUGGAUAGAAUUAUGAUUUAAUUUAAUCUAAUAAAUUAGGGUGCACUUUAAUUGAUUAUUAAAUGGUGAUUAUUAAUAUUUAAUUCAAUAGUUAAAAUAACAUAUUUCACAAGACACUAAUAGAUCUAAUAGACAUGAUUAACUUAACUUAAAUACAAAAUACUACUAUAAUAAAAAAAAUGGUUGAAAUAGUCAACGUGCCAGAAAAAGACGCGUUGAAAAAUAAAAACAAAGAUUCGGGCUUCUUUAUCUCGAUCUCCUAUCUUCUAAUUUAAACUUCAAUAAAAGAUUUAUUGAAAUAGAGGAUUGCACAAGCAAGAUCGAACCAUUACAUACCAUAGAAGACAAACAAAAAGAGUCGUCGACCUGAGUCGAGGUCGACGACCUCAAGUCAGUCCCUCCCCUAAUACAGGCUAGAGUUCGGCGACCUCACCAGGGCAAGAUCACUCAUGCCUGUUAGAUAGGAGACACCUCCUAAGGUAGUCACCGACUUCUAUUACAGAGAUCGUCAGCUAAGUCUAUAACUGUUUCCCUCUGGUUGCGUCUGUCAGCUAAGGUGAGACCUCCAAAAGUCUUAUAAAUAGAACCUAAGGUCCCUCGAAAAAAAGGUUCACAUUCUCUCCACACACGUGAAUAAAAUAACCAGUUGUCGAUCCUUCAAGGAUCUCUUCAACAGUCUCUGACUCCUCUACCAGUAGACCUCCUAGUCUACAAGUGAUAAUUGGUGAGUUACGACCUCAUCGAUUUGUCGUCGUCUGUGAGACCCUAUGAACCAGUCGCCGACUUAGUAGGUCACUGCUCCUCCACUUGCAAUGAUGAAGAUCGAUCAGAACUAGAUUGACAGUGAGAGUUACAAUUAAAGGAAUUAGAUUGCUAAUUACAUUACCUGAGUAUUAUAAAAUUUAUAAUAACAUUUUCAUGAGUCAUGUGUUAUUAUCGGGAUAGGUUUAUUCGACAGGUAAAUAACCCAAGAUCGGAGUAAAACAAAUAAAAGAAAACAUAAAGACAAAUGUGUAAAAAUUUAAAUAAAGAGUAACUGAACCAAUUCGGAUGGACCGUGCACUGGCUUAUGUCAACCGACAAUUACAACAAUACUGUAUUGAUUAAUUAGAUAUUAGAUUAGUUAAUCAGUUAAUUAAACAAGUGUAUUGUAUAGUUAGUUGAUAAUGAGUCAGUGUAUUAUAAAUAAAACAAUUUGUAAUUCAAAUUUAAUUAUUCAAAUUACAUUUUGUGCUAAUUACACAAUUAAUAUCUAAUUCUCUGCCAAGUCAUCCAACGGUUAUCUCGACAGUUAAAUCGAGAAACCUUUGUUUCUUUCCCCUUCUUCACGUGACGACUGCAUGAGCUUCUCCGGCGCUUCAUAGGUUACAAUAAGUUCUAAUCGGCGACUACACUGGCAAAUAACAUGGUGUCAGUUGGUGACGACAUUGAUAUCGAGUUCCCAUCAGCUUCCGCAAUAGCAAUGACAGAUUCAGACAGUCAAGAAAAAGAAUAUAUUGAAACAGAUGAUUCAGAUUCAAUUGUUGAGAAUAACACAAGAUCCUUCCGAGCCUCUAGGAACAAAAGAAAAAAAAUCAAUACCAAAGAAACAGAGAAGAGGUUAGUAGAUAUUCAAGAAAAUCUCCCUAUUUUUUUUACUGCGGGAGACCACCCUGUGGCUCAAAUGGUGGCAGGAAAACUCACUGGGGAGGAGAAUUACGGAUCAUGGGCAAAUCCGAUGAAGCUCUCACUUGUCUCAAAAAACAAGACAAGCUUCAUCAAUGGAAAAAUUAAGAAGCCCAUAGAUGAAACAUGGGAGGAAUAUGAGGAUUGAGAGAUGCUCAACGGAUUAGUGUUAUCCUAGAUAAUUAACAGUGUAAGCCUCCAGAUAGCCUCAACACUCAUCCACACAGAAACAACUUAUGGUGUUUGGGUUAAUCUUCAAGAAAGGUACAAAUAAAAGAAUGCACCAAAAACAAGUCAACUAAGGUAUGAAGUCAAUACCUUAAAACAAUCACAUGAAUCUGUCUCAAUAUUUUUUGAUAAGUUUAAAACAUUAUGAGAUCAAUUUGUUGUGAUAGAAAAACCCGAGUGUGAAUUUUGCAAUGUAUGUGCUCCAAUUUAUAAUAAAAAAUUGAAGAAAGAUAGAAUUCAUCAAUUCUUAUUAGGAUUGAAUGAUCAAUGAUGUAUUCAUGACUAAAGUCAAAUACUAGCAUACCCCGAUCUACCAUCAAUGAAUCAAGUGUUUUGCCUAGUCAUUCAAGAGGAAAAACACAAAAACAAUUUUAAGGAUAAAAUAGGUGGCCACUGCCAUAUUUUCUAAGAAAAUUGAAAAAGAAGAAAAGAAAGAAGAACCAAGAAAAAAGGGUGUGUAUAGUAAGAAUGGAAAAUAACUAGACACUAGAUACUAUUGUGAUAACUGUAAGUUUUUUGAACACACAAGAGAACAAUGUUAUUAUUUAGUAGGUUUUCCAAGUGAUAAGAAUUAAAAAAAUUCAAAAAGAAAGAUGAAUCAAAGAAAGUCAUCACAGAAAGUGCAAAUCAAGCAUCCACCACUUUCAAAACAAUGCAAAAUCUGACCAAUGAGGAGUUGCUAAUACUCAAGGAUUUUUUGAACAAAUCUGGUAUGAAUUACUCAUUUUAUUUAUCAAAUUAUAAAAAUGUAUGGAUAAUAGAUACUGGACCAUCUUAAUAUAUGACUGAGAAUCUUUAAUUAUUUGAUGAAACUCCUAAAGGGGAUCUUAAGCAUUUUGUCUCCACACCAAGUGGUGAAGUAUGCAAAGUAACCUCAACUGGAGAUAUCACAAUAUCCAAGGAUAUUGUGCUUUAAAAUGUCUUAUACAUCUCACAAUUCAAGGUUAAUUUAAUAUCAGUAAAUAGGUUAACCUUAGAUGCAAAAUUAAAUAUCAUUUUUAAUGAAAUUAAAUAUAAUUUUCAGGAAAACAAAUCAGAGAGAGUGAUUGGGAAGGGUAAAUGUCAAAAUGGGCUAUAUUUCCUAAAGACUCAUCCAAAUAAUUUUCUUGAUUUUGCCUACACUUCCAUGGAUUUUGAGACAUGACAUAAAAGAUUGGGGCAUAUCUCAACAGAAAAGAUGAAGCUCCUUAUUAGAAAUAGAAAUAUUAAAUAUAAUACUUCAAAUUCAGAUCAUGUUUGUAAUAAUGAUUGUAAUUCAGUGGAUAAUGAAAAAAUUUCUUCUAAAAAUAAAUAAUUUUUUCCAGAUAUAAAUAAAAAUCUUAUUUCGAUAAAAGAAAAAUGUAAUGUUUGUCCUUUGGCAAAACAGGUUAAGCUGAAAUAUACAAAAAGCAUGUUAAAAUCAAAACACUUAUUUGACCUAAUUCAUGUAGAUGUUUGAGAAAAAUUUCCAAUAACAACACAUGAUGGGUUUUCAUAUUUUUUAACACAUGAUGGAUUUUUUUAUUAAAAACCAAAGACGUAGUCCUAGACUGCAUUAAGAUUUUUAUAUUCAAAAUUUAAAAAAAAUCAACAAAAAUAUAAAAAUAGUAAGAAGUGACAAUGAAAGUGAAUUUAACUCAAAUCACUUAAAACAAUUAUUAGAAAAACAGGGAAUAAUAUAUCAGUAUUCUUGCCCAUACACACCAUAACAAAAUACCAUAGUAGAAAAAAAACAUAGGCAUCUACUAAAUGUUGUUAGGGCAUUACAUUUUCAAGGAUCAAAAUUCCUCUUAAAUAUUGAGGAGAAUGCAUUUUAGCAAUUACAUAUAUAAUUAAUAGAACACCUUCAAAGGUUUUAGAAAACAAAACUCCGUAUGAAAUACUAUAUAAACAAGCACCCAAUUAUGAGUUUCUUAAAACUUUUGGGUGCCUUUGCAAUGCAACCACAGAAAAACAAAGAACAUAAAUUCUCACCUAAGACUUUUAGAGGAAUAUUCAUGGGUUAUCCAACAAACACAAAAGGAUACCUAAUACUAAAUAUAGAAAAUAAAAAAAUUCUAUAUAACUAGAAAUGUGGUUUUUAGAGAAAAUAUUUUCUCAUUCAAGGAAAUGCUUGAAAGUGAAAAUAUUUGGAAAAUAAAUGAAAACUCACUACAAAACUUUUAUAAAUAAAUCAUUUAUCAUGAUGAAUAUAAAAAUAAAAGUAAAAAAAUUAAAAAAAAUCAAGAUUCAAAUAAACAGAAAAAUAUGAAACAGACCAGCAUAAGGUCUGAAAUUGAAUCUGAAUUAAAUAAAAAUUCAAAAAUACAUGGAAUAAUCAAAACAUAAAUACAUAGAAAAUCAUUGGACAUAACUAAAGACGAUCAGGCCAAUGACAAUAUCAAUUCAGACCAUAAUAUGAAUUGUUUUGAAGAAAGAAUUCCAGAAAUAGAAGAGUUAAAUCAAACAAAUGUAAAUACUAAUUUUCAACCAAAUGAAAUAUGUUAUGAGGAUAGAAGAACAUCAGAAAAAUGAAAAUAUAUCCAACAAACAAACCAAAGGAUGAACUCUUGACAGAAUAACCAAAGCAAUCAAGAGACUGGUCCAGGGGAUAUCUCAGAACAAGACCAAGAAAGGUCUGUCUCACAAAAUACACUGUUUUUUGAAGAAAAUUCAGUGAUAGCAGGUAAUAUAGAGAACCUGCAUAAAAAUAAACCAAAUCAAACCCAAAACACUGAAACUAACUAAAAAACACAGGAUUGUGAGAGUAAUUCAGUUUUGGCAGGCCAUAGACAGAAUGAAUCACAAAACUGCAGUAAUUCUGAAAACAAUUCAGUAAUUGCAGGGAAUAUAGAAAAUCUACAUCAAAAUAGAACAAAUCAACCACAGAAUACUAAAAAUAACUCAGAAACACAAGAAUGUGAGAGCAAUCAAACAUUAGUAGAUCACAGAUGAAAUAAAUCACAUAAUUCUGAAAAUAAUUCAGAAUUAAAAGGCUACAAAACAAGCCUAUAUGAAAGAAAAAUUAAUCAACCAAAAUACCUUCAAGAUUUUGUUUUGCAAAAUAAAAAAGAAUAUCAUAAAUCAAAAUUCCCAAUGAGCAAUUAUGUCUCAUAUCAAAAAAAAAAUCAUAAACAUUAUUUAAAACAAAUAACAGUCAAUGAUGAACCAAAUUCAUAUCAUGAAGCUUCAAAGGAUCGAAAAUGGAUUGAAGCAAUAAAAAUUGAAAUGAAAUGAAAGCAUUAAAAGAGAAUAAUACAUGGUCUCUAACAAAUCUUCCCAAAGAUAGAAUCUAUUGGUUCAAAAUGGAUUUACAAAAUCAAAUAUAAACCAAAUGGCCAAGUAGAAAUAUAUAAAGCAAGACUUGUUACCAAAGGGUUUACACAAAAAGAAGGUUUUGAUUUUUAUAAAACCUUUGCAUCAGUAGUUAAAAUAGUGACCAUGAAAGGUUGGAACUUAUAUCAAUUAGAUGUAAACAAUAUUGUUUUUUUGCAUGGUAAUAUAAAUGAAGAAGUAUAUUUGAAAUCUCCAUAAGGUCUACUGGAAGAGAAAGACCAAAGGGUAUGCAAACUAAAUAAGUCACUGUACGGUCUCAAACAAGCUUCAAGAAGCUGAUUUGAGAAACUAAGAGGAGUUCUCCUAAAUAUUGGGUUCUCACAAGCAAAAUCUGAUUAUUCACUCUUCAUAAGAGAGAAAAAUCAAAAUAUUUUAUAUCUCAUUGUAUAUGUGGAUGAUAUCAUCAUCACAGACAACAAUGAGUUAGAAAUUGGAAUAAUAAAAAUCCAAUUAGAAAACCAAUUCAAACUAAAAGACCUAGGAAUAUUGAGCUAUUUUCUAGGGAUUGAGGUGUCAUAUUCACCUCAAGACAUAUAUCUGUCUCAAAGAAAAUAUGCACUAUGAAUUCUAGAGGAAUCUGAUCUUUCUGGUGCAAAACCAUCUAAAAUCCCAAUGGAGAGACAUAUAUAUCUUAAAAAUGAUAAAUCCUCAUUAAUUGAGAAUCCAACAUUUUAUAAAAAGAUGGUUGAGAAGCUCAUCUAUCUUAACACAACAAGGCCAGAUUUGAGCUUUUCAAUAAACUGAUAAGGUAUGAACACAGUUCAUGCAUGCACCAAGAGAAAUCCAUCUUAAAGUCCUAUUUAAAUUGAUAAGGUAUAUCAAAAAUACCCCAGGACAAGGAUUACUAUAUAGUAAAAGUGGAAACAUGAUGAUAAGAGAAUAUUGUGAUGCAGAUUAGGCAGCAUGCCAAAUUAGCAGAAAAUCAUUGACAGGUUUUUGUGUUAUGCUAAGAGAUUCAUUAAUCUCUUGGAAAACCGAGAAACAAAACACAAUGGUCAUAUCAUCAAUCGAGAUCUUCAAUUUUUUUUCUCAAUCAAUUGUACAAGUAAACAGUUGAAUUACAAGUUGUUCGAUGAAUUGCACCGUAAGAAGUAAAUGAAAAUAAAAGCAAGAUUGUCGAAAACUUUGGUUCGUAAACGUUGUAUCCACAAAAACUUAAUUUCACAAGGGUAUUGUUAAGUUAGUAAUCUCCGUGUUUAUCAAAAAUAGAUUAGUCUUUAUUUAGGUGAAUCAGUAUAAAUUUCUUGAAUUAUCUUUUGUUUUUUCAUUUAUGUUUUUGAUAUUAUUAAUCAUAUAAAAUAAACAAUCAACGAAAAAUUUCCUCUUCCAUUCAACUGAUCAAAAGAUAAAGGUUUACUAUUUUCAGCAGAUCCUUUAUUCAGACAUUUGAUCAAUAGACUAAGGUUAACUUUCUUCAGCAAACAAUUUUCCAGUUAUCUAAUCAAUCAAUUAAAUUAAAUACAAUUAUUAUUUUUAUUCAUUAUUGUGUUAUUAAGCAUAUAAUUACACUACAGUUUCAGAUCACGAUCUAACAAUUGGUAUCAGAAUCAAGUACCGUUGAAGUCAGUUUAACAUCUUACCUCAACAACAAUGAACAUCGUGGUGGUCUUGCAUCGUCUUUCCGUUCAAAUCAAGCAACAUGUCUUCUAUGGGACCUUCUACGACAUUAAGGGGAACAAGUCUUCGAUUGCAAAUCAACUAGUCUUCGACCAAUCUACAUCCCAAGAUCAUGUGGACCAACAACAAGAAGUCCCAGAUGGCACUAAGGACGUCGACCACACUUCCCAGUCGACCAUGAACUAUUAAGGAGUCAUACUAUGACGAGCCGGCAGACAGACCAACAAAUCUGAGUUCAUCCAAAUCUCGACUGGGGAGAUCCACCCCAUGAGAGCGGCCAUCGACCAUAUGACUAUGCACCAAGCGCCACCCGUCACAAUGCAAGUCCUGGCGGAGGAGUAUAACAAAAUGAAGGAAACAGUGAGAAUGAAAUCCUAAACUCGAACUUACUCGUUAAAGAAUGAAAUCCAAGUUCGUGUCUUAUCGAUUUCAAAUCGAGCCCAAACUUAUACCGCGUAUAAAUUGGUUCCAAAUUUUGCAAUAUAUCCAAGUAGAUUCACUAAAGGGUAAAGAUCUCGUAUCCAAAGUUUAGGGACAUUAAACUCAAUGUAAACUUAAUAUGGAGCCCUUUGCAAAAAGAAAAACGAGUGCACGACUCACUUGUCUUCUCUUCUUUCCAAGGGAAAUUAGAUCCGAUACUUGUUCCUCGUCACCACCGCAGUCUCCCAAAUGGGUAGCGCCCAAUCCAUCAACAACUCCGACCAUUCCGAAGAAGAAGAAGAUCCAGAAUCCGAACGGGAAAAUCCAAUCGAAGAGGAGGAAGAAGACCGCUCCGACGAAGACGAACGGAUACCGUUAACAAAAUCGACGCUACCCAAAAUUCUCUUACAAGAACCUGAGAUCCUUACUUGCUAUGCCUCCGCUUCACCGAUCUCCCCCCAACUCUCGUCCGUUGGCACUCCAAGAGUCAAGGUAUGGGACCCAUGUAACGUCCUUGGCCCGCCAUUACCGACGACGACAACAUCGAGAAGUUUCGGAGAUGGGUUCGGAGAGGGAGGGGAUCGAGUAACGGAGGUUUUUUUGGUAGCGCACGGGGAGUGUGACGUUGGAAUGAGACCGGAUCUUGUUGGUGGGAGGUGGCCGUCGGCGGGAUUAACAACGAAUGGGGAACGACAAGCGAGGGCGCUUGCUGUGUUUUUGAACUCGCAGGAAGUUAGGUUUAGUUCCGUGUAUUGCUCCCCUCUGGAGAGGGCAAGGGUGACUGCCGGAUUUGUUUGCAGUGUAAGAAUUCUUGUUGAUCUGAUCUUCCAUUUUAGGUUUUCUUCUUCUUCUCGUAAUUUUGGAAAUCCGAAAGUUUUACGUUGAUUAAAUCCGGAAAUGCUGUGAUUUAUUUGGCAGGAAUUGGAAUUCGUCGAGGAACAGAUACAAUCCUCCAAUUCAUUGGCCGAGAUUAAUAACGGACAAUGGGAAGGUUGUCACCGCUCAGAGAUUUACACUCCGGAGAUGGUAAAUGUGAUAGACAGAACACAACCUGAUUUCUUUGCACCUUCUGGAGAAUCACUCAGACAGGUGGAAUUUCGCAUGAUCGAGUUCCUUAACCGUACUGUUAUAAAAAUGCCGGAGAAAUUGAGCACGGUGAGUAUGCUAAUGCAUCAGAAUGAUAGGAAGGUGUUUUCACGUCAGAGCUCCAUGGAUUCCAUUCAACAAGGUCAAAACAGUCCCAUUGUUCCUCACUGGGAUAUGCUUCACAGACACAACAAACCAGGACUGACGAAAAAGAAAUCCGGCAAGAGUAGACUUCAAUUUGUGACGACGGAGGAUGAUGAGUUCUCUCCUAGAGAAACCACUGAUCAGCUUAACGAAGUUAGAAAUCCAUCAUCAUCUUCCGUCGGAAUCUUCACACAUGCCACACCUAUUAAGUGUCUUCUCACAGGGAUAUUGGAAUGCAGUCCGACAAUGGCAAAUAAGAUUUGUAUAGACGAUUCUUCCGUGACAGUUCUUGAACAUUCUCUGAGAACUGGUUGGCGGAUUAAAAGGUUGAAUGAUACCGCUCACCUCCGGCUUCUUUGAUUAGCUUAAAAACAGUUACAUCUCCGACAUCCUCUAUGUCUCUAUAUCUCUUCCUAUUUAUUAUUGUCAUGUUUCCAUGAAAUAUUUAUAUUGAGAAAAAGACCAAGUUCAUGAAGAAACUCACUUCUCAAAUUCCGUUUAUCUCCAAAAAAUUCUCUUCUUCCGUGGCCGCCGAUGUGGUCACUUCCGAUUCUAACUUUAAUGCACACUUUGCCCGUGUGUUCACUGAGACCUCAGUUCACUCCUGGAACUCCAUAAUCAAAGACCUCGCUCGCAAUGACGACCCAGUUGGGGCCCUCGCGGCCUAUCGUUCGAUGCGAGUGCAUUCCCUACUUCCUCCAAACCGUUCUACCUUUCCCUGUGCAAUCAAGUCGUGUGCUUCGCUCUGUGCGUUGGAUACAGGAAAACAGCUUCAUCUACAUGCCUUCGUAUCUGGGCUCCAACCCGAUCUAUUCGUCGCAUCAUCCCUCAUCGACAUGUACUCUAAAUGCAACGAAAUAGGAGAUGCACGGAAGGUGUAUGAUGUAACUCCAGGUAAGAAUGCCGUUGUGUGGACAUCAAUGAUUGCGGGCUGCGUUCAGAAUGACGCAUCACGUGAAGGAAUUCUAUACUUCAAACGGUUGUUGGGUUUGAAAAGCGGCGUAGAUCUGGUGGACGCAGUUAUGGCGUCGGCGGCUCUCACUGCUUGUGCAAGAGUUGAGGAAAAGCACGUAACAAACAGUGUUCACGGGUUGUUCGUGAAGAUAGGGGUAGAAUCCGAUGUUAAUGUCCGGAACACUCUGAUGGACGCCUAUGCAAAAACCGGUAACUUUGGUUUCUCAAGAAUGGUGUUUGACGAAAUGAAAAAGAAAGACGUGGUGUCGUGGAACACAAUCAUGGCGGUGUACGGCCAGAACGGAUUUUCGAAGGAAGCUUUGGAUGUAUACCGGGAAAUGUCAUGCAUUGAUUCUCUCCGACGUGGUGUAGUCACAUUCUCAACGGUGAUGUUGGCUUGCGCUCACUCUGGCGCGCUCCAAUUUGGGAAGUGUGUUCAUAACCAUGCCAUUAGAUCAGGACUGGAAGUGAAUCUCCAUGUGGAUACAGCUGCAGUAGAUAUGUACUGCAAAUGUGGGAGAGUCGAUACGGCAAAGAAGGUCUUCCACCAUAUGAAAAACAAGAAUGUAAAGUCGUGGACGGCAAUGAUUGCUGGAUGCGGCAUGCAUGGACGUGGACGAGAAGCUCUUCAAGUCUUUCACGAAAUGAGAAGAUCCGGUCCAAGUCCAAAUUACGUAACAUUUGUGGCCGUUCUUGCAGCCUGCAGUCAUGCCGGAUUAGUGGAAGAAGGUCGGCACUGGUUCGAAGCCAUGCGAGAAGAAGAAGAAUUCAACAUCCCACCAGGUGUAGAACACUACGGUUGCAUGGUCGAUCUUCUCGGACGAUCAGGGCAUAUCUCCGAAGCCUACAAUCUAGUAAAACAGAUGACAACGAGCCCCGAUUCUGUGAUCUGGUCCGCACUUCUCAGCGCCUGUCGUGUUCAUAAGAACGUCGAGCUCGGGGAAGUUUUCGCGAAGAAGCUAUUCGAGUUAGAACCGAGGAACGUUGGUGUUUACGUAACAUUGUCGAACAUCUACGCCGAAGCCGGAAAGUGGAGGAACUCAGAGAGAACAAGAGCCAUUAUCCGAACCAAGAAACUGGAAAAAACUCCCGGUUACAGCAUGGUAGAACUGAAGGGAAGGAUUCAGGUGUUUAUGAUAGAAGAUAGGAGACAUCCUCAGCACGAAGAAAUCUAUACCUAUCUGGAGUCAUUGACGAAAAAGAUGAUGAUGGCCGGAUACAUCCCAGAUACAUCAUCUGUUCCUCAUGACAUCGAUGAAGAAGAGAAGGAAAGAACGCUGCGUGUUCACAGUGAGAAACUGGCCGUCGUGUUUGCGAUCAUCAACAUGGCUCUAAGAACAUCAAUCCAAGUGAUCAAGAAUCUUAGAAUCUGUGGGGACUGUCAUACUUUCAUGAAAUUUAUUUCCAAGAUCGAGAACAGAGAGAUUGUCAUCAGGGAUUCCCAUCGGUUUCAUCAUUUCAUCGACGGCUUCUGCUCAUGUGGAGAUUACUGGUGAUGUUGACUUUGUGGCUUGGCUGUUUAAGCUACUGCUGAAAAUCGAGAUUCCUGGACAAUUUUUUUAUUUUCUUCCCCAAACUUUUUGAAAUUUAAUAUUUUUUUUAUUGUACGGAAAUACCCUUAGAUCAUCCAUAUAAUUUAAGUAGAAGUCAACGCCACAUUCAUUCCUUGAUUUCUUACUCUUGGACCUUCUAUCAUCCAUGAUCCAUUCAUCAAUUGGUCAUAAAUAAUCGUCGGACUUUGGCGGUAAAAGUAUAACAGAAUAAAAGAGAGCAGAUCAUAAACCCUAAAAGUCUCUCCGAUGAUGUCAUUUGGUUCACUUCGUCGUCGUUCUCCAGAACUGUAGUGUUGAAAGAUUCCUAUUCUCAAGGAAGAUUACGCCGAUAACUCCAUUGCCUUGUUGCACACAUCCUUUCUAUCUGAGAUGGAUGUUCUUCGCCUGAGUCGGGAUCUCAUCAAGCAGGUAUGCUAUGAUCUGUCUUAAUUUAAUGAAUUUAUUAGUGUAGCUGCUUUCUCCCUUUUAUCGGCGGAUCAAUUGGACCGUAUCUUAUAUUUUGCCAACGAUUUAUUUUGAUUCACUGUUAUGGAAAUAUUGAGACACUCUUUCAUAUUAGGGUUGUGAUCUUCAUUCUGUUAGAAUAUUUUGCAUAUUCUCAAAUCUAAAUCUAGAGCUACUUUUAUAUAACAACCAUCUCAUGUAUUUUUGUUGUUAUUUUUGAUCCCUUAAUUGUAUGUAAAUAUAAUCAAUAAAUCAAGGUAAUAAUCAAUUGAUCAUCACCGAAAACAUCUGGCUGUUUAUUAUAUUUAAACUCAUGGAUUCUUCAUUUUUAACAUCUGUUGGUACCAUGGACCGCGGACCGCGGCCCAUGGACCGAACCGGCCCGGGCGGCCCAGACGGACGGACGGGCCCGACGUACGAGCCCACGAAGCCCAAGGACAGCAAGUGAAGACUAUAAAUACCUCCCCUGGUCCAACUGGGGGAGGGGUUGAUAAUUCUGAGAGAGAGAAACACUUGUACUAGGUUGGACGGUGAGCUAGCUCCGGCGAACUCUCACACCAACAGUGGUGAACCUGACGUGAAACAAACACAUGACAGCCGGAGAGAGAAGGAUGACGAGGAGCGAAUACCAAGUAGGGGAGUGCUCAAAGCGACCCGAGCGGGCAGCGGAGGAGUACCAGCCGGCGCGACACCACUCCCGCGACCGGUAUUCGGAGGAGGUAAGGGCCAACGAGGAAUGGGACGGCGAGGAGGAUAGGCUGCGCAUGGAGCUCGAGGAGAUCAGGUACGGGUGGGAGUCACCCAAAAGGCGCCGGCGCAAAGAACCGGCAUCCCCACCCAAGGUCAGGAGAACGCGGUCCCGGUCGCGGUCCCGGGAGAGAAGGGAAAAGGAGCACGAGAGGCUCCGGUGAAGGGAGCGCGUGGAGGAGAAAGAGCGCGCGGAAAAAGAGAGCAAGCGGGAGAGGAUGCAGCUCGUGGAACUGAUAUCCACCCUACAGGAGAGCCAGCGUCAGCUACAAGAGCAGGUGCACCAGCUUACGGUGACCCCACACACCCUGGAGUCGGACGGGGGCGGAGGAGGGGAUCCCAUGUACGGGCCGCCCGCCCCCCCGGACGGGAGACCCGGGAGCGACGUCCCACCCGUGGAGGCCCCGCGAACCAUUGUGGCAACGACGCCGGGAGGGGGCAGUGGAGAGGCCCUAGCGCAGCACCUGCUGGACGAGGAGUACCCGCCAGGCUGGAGAGCCCCGAAGAUCCCUUAUUACAAGGGCGACACAGACCCAGAGGACCACCUGCACUCUUUCAAGACCAACAUGGAGGACAGGACGAACAGAAAGGACAUCUGGUGUCGAAUGUUCCGAAGGGCCCUGACGGGCGACGCAAUAGCCUGGUACAGGACGCUGCCGACAGGGUCCGUGUACACCUACGAAGGCUUAGUGGCGGUAUUCCGGGCGGCUUUCGCACACCGUCGAAGAAGGCCGAAAAUCAAGGCCGCCCUCAGUACCGUCAUACAGGGAGAAUCAGAGAGCACGCGCACUUACAUGGACCGGUUCGCGAGCGAGGUGCAGAAGAUUGAGGGGAUCUCAGAGGAGGUGGUGCUGUACGCCCUAACGAACAGCCUCCGGCCCACUUUCUUCGCGGGAGACUUAGUGAGGAAGCCGCCGAAAACCUUCGCCGAGGCCAUGGAGAGAUCCCACGGAGAGAGCAACGUGGAGGACUACCUGGGCGCGAAGAUCCAGGAGUACAGGCGGCAGCAGAGGGGGAAGAGCGCCCCCGCAGGCACGGGGGGAGGGCAGCAGCAGAACCAACCUCAGCCCCAACAACUGCAAGCCAAGCCCCCAGCGGCACCACAGGCGCCGGCGUACAGAACCGGCACCCCGGCAACAGCGAGGCGGAGGGAAGUGGGGCCCGCCCCGGCGGCGAACCAAAGACAGGUUUUCCUAACGUUGAGCGGAACAGGAACCCUACCCCUGCCGAGGCCAAUGAGAAAGGACACGGCGGCGUUCAGGGACACCCGCCGGUUUUGCGAAUACCACGAGGACAACGGCCACACGACGGCCGAAUGCCUAAACCUAGCAAAGGUCCUCAGCAAAAUGAAACCCGCAAACGGAGCCCCCCCAGCCCCGACGACAAGCCGCCCGACGGUAAUACCCACGGGACACCAGGCGCCGAAGCAGGAGCCGGCGGACGAAGCCAUAGGGGACAUCCUCACCAUCGCGGAAGGAGGAGCCUCAAGGGGCGACGACCCAUGGGAGGGAUGGCGGUACGCGUCCGACGUGGACCGGACAACAGGGGCCAAACGCCCGCGAAUAAACCUGGAAAUCUCGUUCACGGAGGACGACAUGAAGGACAUCACCACACCCCACGANNNNNNNNNNNNNNNNNNNNNNNNNNNNNNNNNNNNNNNNNNNNNNNNNNNNNNNNNNNNNNNNNNNNNNNNNNNNNNNNNNNNNNNNNNNNNNNNNNNNNNNNNNNNNNNNNNNNNNNNNNNCGGCCUAGCCCGCGCGGACCUACUUCCGUGCCGGGCCCCCAUCAGAGGAUUCGUCCAGUCAGAAGUCCCAGUAGCGGGAACGUUUUCCAUCCCGGUCACCCUAGGACGGCAUGCCCAAGCUAGGACGGUCGAGGUCAUGUUCACGGUCGUAAACUUCACAUCGGGAUACAACGCCAUCCUGGGAAGGACGGCGCUGCACGCUUUCCAGGCAGUAAUGUCAUCGCUCCAUCAGUGCCUCAAGUUCCCAACCGAGGCAGGGGUGUGCACGGUCCGGGGAUCCCAGAAGAAGGCGUGCGAGUGCUACUUCAAUUCGAUCGGUGAAGUAAUGACGUCAGACGAAGGCCUACCCCACUCGAUGCGGGAACACAUGGCAAGACCCGAACCGGCAUCCCACACGACCCAAGUGGCCCUUGGGCGGGAUGAAGUACGAAUAGGAAAGAACCUCCCACAGAGCAUCAGAGAGGGUUUAGAGCAACUCCUGAGGAAGAACGGGGACCUGUUCGCUAACGAGUUGGGGGAGUUGUGCGGCGUACCCAGGACGCUGGCGGAGCACAAACUGGCGGUAGCCCCGGGCGCCCACCCCGUCAGGCAAAAAUUACGCCCGCUAAGGGCGGAAAAAAGGGAGGCGUCCGAACUUGAGGUCAAGAAGCUCCUCCAAGCGGGAUUCAUUCGCCCAGUACGCUACCCCGCCUGGUUGUCCAACGUGGUGAUGGUAAGGAAAGCAGACUCGGGGUGGAGGAUGUGCGUCGACUUCAUCAACCUGAACAAAACGCACUUGGCCGAUCUAGAAGAAACCUUCGCCAACAUCCGAAGCGCAGGGCUCAAGCUAAAAGCGAAAAAGUGCGCGUUCGGAGUCAAGGAGGGGCAUUUCCUCGGUUUCCGAAUUACACCUGAAGGAAUCAAGCCAAGAGAAGAGAAGGUGGAGGCCGUGAUGGCCAUGAACCCCGCGCGGACGCUGAAGGAGGUCCAGAAGCCAAGGACGGCAGAUCGUUUGAAACCUUUCUUCCAGUUGUUAAGGAACCCGGGACCCAGGGUGGUAUGGUCAGACGAAUGCGAGACGGCGUUCAGAGAACUCAAGCUCCAGCUUUCUAGCCUGCCGACGCUCCGCCCACCAACAAGAGGAGAACCACUCACCAUGUACGUAGCAUGCUCGGGGGCGGCCGUCAGCGCAGUCCUGAUCUCAGAAACGGGAGGCACACAAAGACCAAUAUACUACCAUUCCCAGUCAUUGGUAGGAGCGGAGGAGAGAUACCCGGAAAUCGAAAAACUAGCCUUGGCGGUGGUCUCGGCAGUCCGAAGGCUAAAACCGUACUUUCACGCUCACACGGUCACGAUCCCAACGGCUUACCCACUACUGCAACUGUUGCAGAAGCCGGACGUCUCGGGAAGACUAACCAAGUGGGCCAUGGAACUCAGCGAAUUCCAUCUGGUAAUCGUUCCGNNNNNNNNNNNNNNNNNNNNNNNNNNNNNNNNNNNNNNNNNNNNNNNNNNNNNNNNNNNNNNNNNNNNNNNNNNNNNNNNNNNNNNNNNNNNNNNNNNNNNNNNNNNNNNNNNNNNNNNNNNNNNNNNNNNNNNNNNNNNNNNNNNNNNNNNNNNNNNNNNNNNNNNNNNNNNNNNNNNNNNNNNNNNNNNNNNNNNNNNNNNNNNNNNNNNNNNNNNNNNNNNNNNNNNNNNNNNNNNNNNNNNNNNNNNNNNNNNNNNNNNNNNNNNNNNNNNNNNNNNNNNNNNNNNNNNNNNNNNNNNNNNNNNNNNNNNNNNNNNNNNNNNNNNNNNNNNNNNNNNNNNNNNNNNNNNNNNNNNNNNNNNNNNNNNNNNNNNNNNNNNNNNNNNNNNNNNNNNNNNNNNNNNNNNNNNNNNNNNNNNNNNNNNNNNNNNNNNNNNNNNNNNNNNNNNNNNNNNNNNNNNNNNNNNNNNNNNNNNNNNNNNNNNNNNNNNNNNNNNNNNNNNNNNNNNNNNNNNNNNNNNNNNNNNNNNNNNNNNNNNNNNNNNNNNNNNNNNNNNNNNNNNNNNNNNNNNNNNNNNNNNNNNNNNNNNNNNNNNNNNNNNNNNNNNNNNNNNNNNNNNNNNNNNNNNNNNNNNNNNNNNNNNNNNNNNNNNNNNNNNNNNNNNNNNNNNNNNNNNCGACGGUCGGCGGCGGAAGAGGCCCCCCUGCGGCUAUGCGUCCCACGUGAGGAUGGUAAGGCCAUCGCACGAAGCCUACACGAAGGGGCGAACGGAGCACACCAAGGCGGCAGAGCGCUGGAGAAGCAAGUAGCCAGGCAAGGGUACUACUGGCCCGAGUCGAUAAAGUACUCAGAGGAGAUUGUCGGUCGAUGCGAUGUGUGUCAGAGGCAUUCGAACGUCCAAAGACGGCCGUCCACCAUGAUGAAGGCCGUAACGACACCAGUGCCAUUCGCAAGGUGGGGAAUCGACAUAGUAGGGCCGUUCCCACCUGCAUCAAGAGGAAGGAAGUUCCUGUUCGUAGCGGUCGAUUACUUCACAAAGUGGGCCGAAGCGGAGGCUACGAAUACGAUCAGCGAACAGAAUGUGCUGAACUUUGUCUUCAGAAACAUCAUCUGUCGGUUUGGGGUCCCGAUUUAGAUAAUAACGGACAACGGGACGCAGUUCACGGGAAAGAAGUUAAGAGAAUUCUGCGAGGACAGCGGGAUCAAGUUAAGCUUUGCACCGGUCUACCACCCGCAGGCAAACGGACAGGUAGAGGUGACGAACCGGACGAUAACAUCGAUCCUGAAAAGGAAGGUGGGUGAACACCCGGGAAACUGGGCGGACCUAGUCCCGGAAACCAUGUGGGCGUAUUGCACGACCAUCCGGACGCCCACGGGCCAGACCCCCUUCGCCCUCGCAUUCGGGAUGGAAGCCGUAGCACCAGCCGAACUGGUGUGGCCAACNNNNNNNNNNNNNNNNNNNNNNNNNNNNNNNNNNNNNNNNNNNNNNNNNNNNNNNNNNNNNNNNNNNNNNNNNNNNNNNNNNNNNNNNNNNNNNNNNNNNAAAGAGUCAGUCGCGAGAGGCAAAGGGAGGUUUAUAUAAGGGUUCAGGGGGGCGCGGAAGACGAAGCGUCGCGUACCCGGAUUGGUCAGGAUCGGAUGGGCCGGGAGGCCCCCGAGGGAGCCCAGGAGCCGGUCCAUCGGAGGCCAGGGUGAAAGCCAGGGACCGACGCGGGCGGCGAGGCGGGGGAGAAGCGCCCGACGUAGGCUCGGCGGUGUCCAACGGCCGAACGAUGUAGGAGGAGCGUGGUGGGGGUGUCCAGACGGGCCCACAGGCAGACCCCACCAACGAGACGACGUAACGAGCCGACGCCCGAGUCGGCGAAAGGGGGACCCGGCGCGACGGACGAGGGCAGAGCUCGAAAAGGAUGCGGGCAACGUCGACAGAAGACGCCGAGAAGCGCGAAUCUGCACGGACGUGCGAAGACAGUCAAACGAAAGAAAAAAAACGAAGGCAUUUUUCAUUAAAUUAAAGCAAGUGUUACAAACGGCCGGUGGCACGGCGGGAAAAAGUACACAACACAUAACAACAGCUAAUCCGGAUACAAAAAAGAAAUAGGAGACAAGAAGAACGAGACGCGCCCCAGACGUCGUCCCGUGAAGGCAGACCCACAACCCGGAUGAACGUGGUCGCGGUCGCGGACGUCCCCCGGACGGGCUUAAUGGGCCGGCUUCGAGGACCCCGACAGGAAGUGACGCAGGUCAUUGGCCGGGAGGGACGAGGACCCGCGGGAACGACGAGGGCCGCGCGGCCGACGACGCCUUGGCAGAGGAGCAAGGUCGGCGACAGCAGCAGGGGCGACGAUCGUACCUUGCGCGCGGAAAGCACGCGAGGUGCCAGCAGAGCCCGAGGUAUCAGGGUAGGUGACGGGAGGAAGUUCCGCGAGAAUGUCGGAGCGGCGAAUCUGGGAGAGGCGACGGUGGACGUCGAUCAACACGGCGUUGAGGCGCUGAGUCUCGGCCACGGCCACACUAUUGGGAACACCAGCAGGCGACAGCAGACACAGGGCCCAGGUGGCAUGCUGAAGCUGCACUUCGCGACCAUACUCCUCGAGGAUGUCUCGAACACUCAUAGCGGAAAGGAGAGGGGAUGCAAAAAAUAGGGGACUCAGGCAGCUUAUUUAUAGGAAAGUGAAGAAGGAUGGGCCCGAGAAGCGAGGAACAUUAAUGAAAGUGGGUGGGGGCGAAAGGGGGGCGGACGGCCCCGGGCCCCUGGGCCCGUCAAGGAAGGGGGGAGUACUGUUGGUACCAUCGGACCGCGGCCCAUGGACCGAACCGGCCCGGUCGGCCCAGACGGACGGACAUGCCCGACGCACGAGCCCACGAAGCCCAAGGACAGCAAGUGAAGGCUAUAAAUACCUCCCCUGGUCCAACUGGGGGAGGGGUUGAUAAUUCUGAGAGAGAGAGACACUUGUACUAGGUUGGACGGUGAGCUAGCUCCGGCGAACUCUCACACCAACAACAUCCAAGCUCACCUCUGAUAAAUCCAGCAUGGUAUCAGAUUAUGUGCCCGGUCCUGUAGCACCUGUUGUUGAAGCCAACCUCUUCUCAUCGGCUAUCCCCUCGUUUUAUUAGUAUUAUCAUUAUAAUGGUGUAAUAUGUAACUAGCUAGUUGUUACUCUUACUGAUGUAAUUAGCUAGCUAAGUAGUUUAAUUCCUAAUUCUAGAACAUUCUAAUGGAUAAGUCUUAACAGAAUCUGUUAUUACAAUUCUGUUAAGAUCUAAUCCCCCUAAGUUGUAUAUAAAGUGUUUAAUAACAGUUUAGGAGGGAUCGAUCAUUUGAUCUCCCCCAUUUCCCAUAUACUCUCUACUGUUUCAUUAAUAUGGUAUCAUGUGCCUCUAUUUGAUCCUGGGAAUUGAAAUCAAAGUCGAGUUUUCCCCCCCUUCAUUUCAAGAUCUCGACAGUAACUGAUUUCCGCUGCUCAGCCAUAUCGAGAAUUGAUGGAGAACUGGAGACCGGCGAUUCAGAAUUCCUAGAAGGUCCGGCGAACGUCGUAAUCAUCAAAGGACUGAAGACGGUAGCGUUAGACCGAAGCAAUUCGGAGCUAACAUGAAAGGUAACGAUUUAUAUCAAUACCUUACUGGAAAAUGGGCACUGGAUUCGCCUAGGGCGAGAUGGCAAGAUCGUUUAAUCUUGGGAUGGCUCGUAUCCUCACUAACGUGGUGGCUGAGAUUUUAUGGUGUGAAACUUCUCACGAGGCGUGGAAAGCUCUGUAAAUGGAGUUUGCAUCAUCCUCCCGAUCGCAGGUUCUGAGCAUAAGGCAGAAACUGCAAAAUCUUAAGAAGAGAGGUAAGAGUGUCUCUGAAUAUAUAUCUGAAAUUAAUGCACAUCUUGAAAGCCUUGCUAUAGCUGGAGAAAAAUUAGAAGAUUCAGAUGUGGUGAUAUUGGUGCUGGCUGGAUUAGAAGAUGACUAUGAAUCACUGAUCCAAAAUGUGUCAUCUCAGAGGAAUAAAGUGACCUAUCGUGAGCUGAAGGGAAUGUUGAUAGACAUAGAGAUCAGGAGAGCACGCACAAAUAUAGUGUCUCCCAUCAGUGCAAAUAUGGUUGAAUCUGAGAAGGGAGGAAAAGCUGCUGGAAAGAUUAAUCUUAAAUCUGUCCUAUGCCAAAUUUGUUCGGGAAAGGGACAUGGAGCAUUCAAUUGUUACAAUAGAAUUAAUCCGAUCAAGUAUCCACCUACACAUAACAGAACAUUAUCCCCAACUGGUCCAACAGGGAAGAUGUCCGCAACUCUACAAUUUACUAAAGGACGGUGAAUGAAAAAUUUACUAAAUACCUACAACUCUACAAGACAACAACUGUAAGAAAUGAAAACAGAGCAUUGAUCAUUUAAUCUUAUUUAAUUGGUUUAAAGUUUAAACUACUAUUUAAGCAUCAUACGUCAAUGUAGAAAUGCCAUUUGAGAAGAAAAUAGAGUGGUAAUUUCAUAUCACAUUGCGUACCAUUCCAGAUACAUAUAUAAGUCCAUACUGAGAUUUACGAACAGCUUCUGCAAACCUGCAAUGGUUCAUUGGUUGAAACCUUUCAAGCUGUCAAAGAAAGUGAUAUGUUCAAUGGCCUGCACAUUGGGGCUUCCACGGUACUGGCGGGUAGGUUGUAUCAAUAUCUUACUCAUCGGUAGCACUAUAAAAAUUUAAUGUGUCAUUGAAAAAGAGUUGCUGAAGAUUGUGUUGAAUACUCAAUCAUGUUUCUUUACAUGUGACCUUCGGAAAUCCAUGUAACUUGCAGCAUCUUCAAUGGCAUGGCCAUUUCUUUUGCAAUAAGUCUAAAUAUAAAUCUUAAGUUAAAAUAUUGUUCUUGAUCAUUUUGAACCUUUGUUGUUGUGAAGACCAAUUGAAAUCUGUCUGAACACAAAGGAUAAUUUUUAUUCAUGUUGGGUAGUGCCGUGGUGUCAUGAGUACUACCUGACUACAAAUAUGGAUAUACUAAUGUUGGAAUCUCUUCUUCUUUGUUCAAAAAUCUUGUAUUGUUUCACAUGAAUAUCUUGGUAAGCUUUGAUAAGUCUCAAAUUUAUUUCAGUGUUGUGAGCUAUGUGAAAUAUAUAGCAAAGCCAGCAAUUGUCUCUGAACCAUGCGUACAGUUGAUAAUACUGCAUUUUUAAUUGAGAGAUGAGCAGUCUAUUACCUUGGUGAAAUAUGUCUUUGAGUUUUUUCCAAACCUCAAAGAAUUGAAGAACCAUGAUUCCAACCGUAGUGAUUAAUAUUAACAUAAUGGAAGUCAGUGGUUCAAUUAAGUAUCCAAACUCUAAAGAAAAAUCAUUAUUAAUGGUCCAAUACCAUAUAUAAUAUUGAUAGGCAAAAUUUCCAUUUAUUUAGUGAAUAGAUAAAAGAAACGCAAAAAACAUAGCUAUACUUAGAAAUAAAACACUAUAAAAAGCCCAGAUACGAGAAGGAAGAUUCAAAGUGGGACAUUUGCACUUUGUAAAAUCAAAUACAAUAGAACUAGCUAACCGUAAAGUAUCUAUAUUUUCUCAAUACUCCAAAAAUAUAUAAUAUUAACUUUAGGAGUUUUCUGUUGAUAAAACCAAACAUGUUGGAAUGAUAAUUGUAAAUGGCUUCCCCUUUUGAUCAUAAGGAUAGAGUUUGAGUCUUAGGAUUUUCAUUGAGAUACAAAUAAAUUAUUAUGGUUGUUUAUGACUCAUAAGUAGUGGGGGAAGAGAGUGUUAGUCAGAGCACACUAUUCAUGCAUGAAUAUCGGAUUAAAACAUGCAAAUUAGAGAAGUUGAAAUGUAGGAAAGGAGGAGGAAGAACCAACAAGAUUUUCAAGUUUGUACACAUUCUUGAUUGAUUAUGAAGAGAUUUAUAAAAAAUGACAAUAAAAUUAGUUGUAAAAUUAAAUCUGAGCUGAUGAUAUGGUGAAAGUGCUUCUUCCAUAUUGUAGUAUCAUGACAUUAUCGAUUGUGGAAUCUGGCAUCCAGGCUACAAUGUCCCUCUCAAACCAUAUGUUGUUUCGAACAUGUUGCAAUGUCAGAUGUGGAUGAACAACUUGGCCUCUACAUGUAAUCUCUACCUGAUUGUCAAUUUAUCAUACAUAGAUAAUGAAAAAUUAAGAUAGUUGGAUUCUAUAAUCGAUCAACAUAAGAUAUUCAUAUUUCAUUUAUAAUGUUAAUAGAUUAUUUUAUCUACAUUGCAUAAUGCAUAUAAAUUACCAAUAAAAUUGUAUAGAUAGGACUGAAGGAAAGAUGAUGCAUUAUUUUUUGAAUACAGGAAAUCUUCUUUUUCACAUGCAGUGAGAAAUCUUCUUUUUUGAAUACAGGAAAUCUUCUCUUUCACAGUUCCAGCAAAGUCUAUAACCAGGAUGUUUGGAAGAAUACAUUCAGUUGAGGUAAAUUCUAAGAAGCAUGUCUUAACUACUAUAGUAGGCCAGGGCUAUACAAUUGAAUUAAUCUUAUAUUGAAUGGUCAUUUUUAUACCUCGACCUGAAUCCCUCCAGAUGAGAGGUGUGUUGACAAAUCACAUCUUCUUAGCAUAAGAUUAUAAAAGAAAGAUGUAAUAUCAAUGGAGACGUUGCACCAAGAAUGAAUGAUGCAUGGAUAACGUAGCUUUCAUUUUUGUUUUAGUGAAACUAGCUUUCACAACAACUAUGACGUAGGAAUCUAUCAAUUUAUAUAUAGAAAACGUACAUGUGCUUAAAUUGUGAUAUUCCGAUUCUCUGAAUAAUUAAAAGAAUGUUCCAAUAGUGUGUGUACAUGGAUUGUUUGGUGGAUAUAAAAUGCAUGUAUAUAAAAAAAAACUAUAAAAGCUAAUUAGUUGUAUAAAUGUACAAGUGUAUUUAUUUAAAUAGUAUGUAGAAUUAAUUUUAUUGUUUUCUACUUAAACAUUAAAAUGUACAUGAAAUAGUCACUAAGUCAGUCUCAUCAAUCACCAUUUAGGCACAAGAUUAGAUGUAUUAUGUAUAGAUGGGUCACAGAAUGUUCUUUUAAUUAUUUUCUUAUAUAAUUUAGAAACAGAUAGAUCGGUCUCUUAAUAUGUACUAUUGUUUUUCAAUUCCUGUUACUGUUCACGAUGUGCAACUGCCUAAUUCUUAUAUUUAAUUGAAUAAUGGGUUUGUUUAAAUAAAAUCAUAUAUAUUAAAAAAAAAUUAAUAGAUAUACCACUGAACUAUAUUAAAUCAUGCUCUAAUAACACAUUUAUAGAAUUAACUUAGUUAAUCAUGCAUUAUUGCAUUGUUUAAUUAUCUUUUAUCUUUCCCUCUAGACUAUGCAUAGUUGUUCGUAAAUUAAAACUGUAUAUAUAUGUGUUGAGUUCGUUUUCAUAAAAAAUGAGUAAGAUCGAUAUGUACCUCCCACCUAAUAGAAUUAUCCCAUUCAUUUCAGCUCUCUAGUUCCUUUCAUGCUUUAACAUCAUUUAAAUCGAUGAUUGUGCAUGUAUAUAUAAUUUAUAAGCAAUUCUAUUAUAUAUUAAUGUCUUAAAUCGCAUGUAUAAUUAUAAUUUGUAUAUAUGUUUACUUAAUUAUAUUUACCUCUGAUUCAGAUUCUAACCCAAGCUUGCUUGUCAAGUACUUCAUCACCAUGCAAACCUUCAUCUUCUCAUCUCUGAAUAUGUUAAAAGGUAGAGAGAGAUCGAGUUAAUUACAUUGGUUAAAAAUCUGGUACGGUUAAAAUAGUAAUCUUUUAGAGAAUUACUUGAUUCUGUAAUAACGUUUGGGUGUUAACUGCAGGAGAAACGGUCGUCUCACGUCCCUACAUUGAACAACAGAUCGAUGAGAAGACCUUUCUUUCGUUAAUGGCUUCCUUCGUAUGCAUUGCAUUGCGAUGUAUGUAGUAUUAAUUACUUACUGCUUUUGUGAUACUUCAAGCGUAAACCACAGCCCAUUCUGCGACCGAUGAGGUGGAAAAACUACUCUCACGCCUUCUGAGUGAUUUCUACUUCCGGUCGUCGCAUUAUGCAUUAUUGGUUUCUCUUUCUCUUUCGGAAUAGAUGACCCCCAUGUCAGAUUCGUCGACGGGCCAAUACCGGCGGCCGAUGACAUAAAACACAAAGAAUUCGGCUCCGUAAUUCGAGAUCCAGACGGUCUGACGUCGGAGAACAAAUUCAGGCCUAGCAAUCCUUCUCGGUGUUCGAUGGCGUGUUUCCAGUUUUCCACUGACGAUGUACUACAACUACUUCCAACACCUAAUCGAAGCCACCCUUCAUCUCUACCAGCAUUUCCACACGUUAACGACCCCGCGCCGUCGCAUGGAGGGAAAUCACUUGUUCCUCGUACAGACUCAUCGUUUCUAUUAAUAACCUCAACUGCGCCACUGAAAUCCAUAUCAGAACCUCCGGUUCUCGAUCGUGUCUUUCUCCGCCAUGGAUGAUUAAUUAAUUGGUGAGAGGGAUUAUCAUGGUAGGAACAAGCUUGCUAGAUCCACGACCUACCGUAAUGAAUGAUGGUAUGAUCAUCUCUACUCCCGCGCGAUGACCGACAGGGGUGAUCAAUUUACAAGAUGAUUAAAAUAAGAAGAGGGAAUGAUAUACGGUUUUCUCUAUCUGUAUUUAAGUUGGUGGAUUAUAUAUGCAUGUACGUACAUGAUAUCCAUCUAUCUAAAGGAGUUAAAUUAACUUAAUAUGACAUAUGUGAUUAUAAUUUUUCUCCAGAUUAAUUUUAGACAUCGUUAAAAUAGACUAUUAAAAGAAGAGAGAUUUAUAUAAAUACAGAACCUGACUUGGUAGGUGCGUCAACCUGGUUGCACCAUAACUGCUGAACCUUAUAAUUGCAUCGAUCUAAAUUGAUUAACUAAAUAUAUUCAUCAAUCUAUAUUUUACGUAUUGUUAACUUGUUGUUCAUUGGAUUGACAUAAAUGAAAACAAAUUAAACAUAUUAAUUGAUUAAAAAAUAAUUAGGAGAAAUGUCCAUGCAUGGAUAUAAAUUAAUUGGAUUUGUAUUUUUGUAGGAUAUUGGAUUGGAUUGUCAAAAUCAAAUCAAACCAUAUAUAAUAAUAAUGCAUGAUGAUGAUAAACACUUGACAUAAAUAAUUAGAGGGUUGGUUAAGUAAUUAAAUUAAAUUAAUUAAUUAGUUAGUUAGUUAAGUAAUAUGGAUCGUGAAUCAGUGAUCGUCAGAAAAUCACUACAAAUAUAUAAUACAAUACAUGUGCGAUUAAAUUCAAUACCUAAAAUAACUUAUUGUACAAGAUUUUAACAUAUUUAACAUUCGCACAAGUUACCAUGCAUUAAUUUAUGAGUGAAUUUUAGUGCAGUAAUUAAAAACUAAUUAAGUACGUAGUCCAUUAAUCCAAAUAGUGCAAACAACGUACUUAUAAAAAAAAUUAGAUCUAUUAAAUAAUUUCGACCAAACAAAAAGAGGAAAAAAUAAAAUAUUAUAGAUGGAUCAUCGAUCAAGAUCAUGCAUGGAUGUGGCAGAAAAUUAUGAUCAUGCAUGUAUGUAAUAAAAGUUGUGGGUAAGGCAAAUACUCCCAGAUAUUGUGUCGAGCAGAGACACCUCGCUAGACCAGAUGAUGAGCAGGGCUGAGAGAAGAAUUAAAGGGUCUAAAUGCUGGGCUUUCACGUGGGCAAUCAUCGCGGCAACAACCUGGGCAAUUUGGAUGGAAAGGAACAAAGGGAAAUAUGAGGAAAAAUACACAAUUACAGGGGGGAUCGCUAAAAGGAUCAUCUCGGAUACUACCGUUAGGACAAGAAUCUCUAAAUUUAAAAAGACGGGAUCCAGGGAAGAGGAGGAACUAUACAGACUAUGGACUCUAUGAUAGGUACGUACUGGUAUAUUAUUUGCAGGAAAACAUAACGGGAUGGGCAAAAUCAUUGAGGGAAGGAUUGAAAGCCAUCGAAAUAUUGGGUGAGCCACCAGAAUGAGGGCAAAGACAAAAAGGCAGGUACAAAAUUAUUCGACCCGGCCCAGAGCAAAGUGGGCCUUGGGAAAGGGGAUAAUCUAAGUGAAACUGGAGUGCCAGGAAAAAUGGAUUGGAGCAUCUUGUUAGAAGUGGAACCCCUGCUUAGGGUCCAGACGGAAGAUGGUCUAUCAUCAAUGAGUGAGGUAAGAGAGCUACCUAAAUGAGGUCGGGCCAUCAAAUUGAGUAAGAACAGAGUGCCACCAAAAAAGGGGUUAACAGGACUUAAAGGAUCGACUAAAAGGAAGAAUUUAUAUGGAUUAUUGAAGCCUCUGUUUGGGACUAUCCAAAAAUGACUCCGCAAACAUCAUUGAGUGAGAUACAAGAGCCACCAGAAAAGGGUUGGGCCACCAAUAUGAGUGAGGACAGAGGGCCACCGAAAAAGGGGUUUAACAGGUACAUGAAGCGUGAAGAAAAAGGAGAAGAACUGAGCGGGAAUGAAGUUCAAGGAUUGGACGGAUGUUGCUUGAGAUCGGCAGGAGGAGUGCUCCGAAUCACAAGUGCUAAAUCACGAGUGGUACAUGAAGAAUGAACGUGAAGAUAAAGGAGAAAAACUAAGCGGGAAUGAAGUUCAAGGAUUGGACGGAUGUUGCCCGAGAUGGGCAGAAGGAGUGUUCUGAAUCACAGGGGAUGAACCACGAGUAGUACUAAACAAUCUGAAAUAGCUGUUGGUUAAAAAAUGGAUUAUGUAUUAAAUAUGUAGCGGUAUAGGCUAAGAAUGUAGAGGUAAUCUCUAGAAUUGUUGUAUGUAUAUCACAGCAAGGUUUAGAGACUCGAAGACGAGUUGAUUGUAGCUCAGACUUCUUUUUGUUUAAAAUCAAUAAAUUGUCGAAAAAGGUUUUAAUCAAAAAAGUAAUAGAAGUUGUGGGCCUGUGGCGGUCUUCCGUCCACCCGACUGACCCGAUUGAGAUAAGAUCGAUUUCGUGAAUGGAGCUUUAGGGUCCGAUUUUAGGUCAUCGUUUUAAAUCCACUAAUAUCGGUCCAAUAAGAAGAUUGGUGUGACUUUUGAGCAAACCCAUUAACCAUUUCUUCAGCCAAUGCCGACAUUUGACCAAGUAAAGAGAUCUUGAGGUUUUGGUGGACACUUGGGCCCAUCAUCUAACUAAACAAAUAAGUUAGGAUUAGGUUUAUUUGUAAUUGGGCUUCUUAGCCCAUUAACCGAGUCAAUCAUAUCUUUAAAGUCUGAUUAGUAGCUAGCUAGUUAUGCUUCGGAAUUCAUUUGAACUGGGGCGCGCGCACACACAUGCACAUGCACUAUUACGAAAGCAUCUUGUUGUAGCUGGAAAUAUCAGAGGAGCAGAAUGGGUGAUAGACUGAUAGAGAGAGAUAUUGACGGACCAAUCCAGUGACCACAAAUGGCAGAAAAACAUACAAGGACGGCGGUGCAUCGGAAAACCCAGGUUACUCCAAUGUCAAUGUGAAAAUCACGGUGAACAAAUACUUGUUUCAGCUCGUUUCCCAAGCACCAUCUGCUGGACCUAGCUAGAUGAUCGAUGGGUGGAUGGAUGGACAGGAAAACAGUGAUUAAUGAAGAAGCAUUGAUUUCAUCAAGGAACGGAUACGUGUCGAUUUCGUCGUGACAAGUGGCGGCUGGAUUAGAACGGCGAGUAUUGGUGCAGUGAAUUGUGGGGAGAAGGGAAAAAAAGGUAACAAACCCCUAUUGAUGCCCAUUUGGCGGCCUCGAUGGCAUUAAUGGUAGACAAGGAAAGAGGUGCGGUAGCGGUGUGCAGACUUUUUUCAACACUUGGAAGCCGAUCCCCGCUAUCAUCCCUUCUCCUCCUUUCACCAUUCGAGCAAUCAACCCCCCUAUUCACCAACGGGAUGGUGUCCAGGACUACUUUUACCAUAAUAACACCAUUCAUCAAUCACCAGUUCACACUUCUCAACCACUCUCUCUUUUUUCUUCUUUUUUUUCCUCUCCAUCUUCUCGAUCUUGGUUUCUAGUUUCCAAUUUCCACCACUGCUGGCAUUGCCAUGGACGGAGAGGAUGGGUCAUCCUCUUUCCCUUUUCCACAAAUAGGUUUCCAUGGGGAGAUCAGGAGGCGGAAGAGGUCGGCCAGGCAGAGACGUGUCUUCCAGACUAACUCAGAAGAAUUCCCCAGAUCAGAAAGCAAACUGGUUUAUCCAUUCAGAUUCCUCCUGCAGAAGGAACUGAGGAACAGUGACGUCGGCUCUCUUGGUCGAAUGAUUCUUCCAAAGGUCGAUUUUAUUUCUAUUAUAAUCAAUCUGAUUAAUUAAUUAAUUAAUUACAAUCGACGUCUACCAGAAAGAGGCCGAAGCUCACCUACCUGCUCUUACUGCAAGAGAAGGAAUGAUGCUUUGCAUGGAUGACAUGGAGACUCUACAGCCGUGGACUUUCAAAUACAGGUUUUGGCCCAACAACCGGAGUAGGAUGUAUGUGCUUGAGAACACCGGUAAUAUAAAAAAAAAUGAUCGGAGAUUUGGAUUUCGUUGUUGCCGGAAUGAUUGAUUAAUUGGAAACUAAAUUACAAAUUUGGUAGCUUAAUUACAGGGGAUUUUGUCAAGGCGCAUAGGUUGCAGCUUGGAGAUUUCAUCAUGCUCUACAAAGACGAUUGCCGAGACAGAUAUGUACGUACGUGAUACUGUGCAUGUAAUCGUGUAAUUAGUAUUUAAAAUCAUAAUUAAUCAAACCAAACAAAAUUCUAACAUGAUCGAUUCGUUUUACGAUUAGAUCAUCCAUGGUCGUAAGAUUGGCGCUCCGGUAGCAGCAGCAGCAGCAGAUGAAGAAGAGGCUACGGAAGAAGAAGAAGCUACUCGUCCGCUAGAAGCGGCGGAGACGGAAGAAACUGCGUCGUUUUGCCGGGAUAUGUAUCAUCCUUGGGCUGGUUAUGACGAUAACAUGCAGCACGACGCGGCUUACUCGUUAGAUUUCUCGUUUUUCUUCUCUAACGACAUAAUCGAUAAUCGAAGAGUGCUGAAAUCGUUUCCGAGUCUGGAUUCCAUUGAGAAUCUUUCCCUGGAUGACUUUUGAGUUUUGAUCCGGCCGGCAACCUGCCGACGGUGGCUCAUUCUACCUUAUCAACAUGUCGAGAAAAAAGUCGGUGUCACCGUGUCUUUUUUUGAUUAAAAUAAAAUCGCAUCUUUUUGGAUUUUAUUUAGUUUUAUCGAAUGGAUUUUUUUAUAAUACUAAAGAGGUAUAGGUACCGAUAUGAUAUUCUUCAAGAAUUAGGGUUUCGUUGACCCACUAACUACAUAAUCCCAAAUUGCUCGAUCUCCAUCGACACCAUUGGCGGCGCGCAAUUCAUCUCUCAAAUCACAAACCUUUUAUAUAAUGAUGCCGUCGAUGAAUUUCAUUAUUUCUUUUUAUGAUUUUCUCUUCGAUUCUUUCCUCUCCUUUUUCUUCCGAUCCUCAUUUGUUUUUCUUUUUCCGUCCACCAUGAGCAAAUGAUGAAACAUUUUGUCAUCGUCUGAGAUUCUCUCCGUGAAGUCUCUGCAAAAUCGAGCUUUUUAAAACUGAUGCUCUUCUGGUUUCUGUUCUUCUGUUUUUAAUUUUUUUCUCUUAGAUCUCUUGUCGUACAAUUUUUUGUCCUUUAAUUUCUAUUUCUGAAUCGAAAGCCCUAUUUUUUUUGUUCGGAGUAGCAAGCAAAUGAUGAAGCAAUUUGUAAUGAAACUGAGAUUCUCUCCGUGAGGUUUCUACAAAAUCGAGCUUUUUAAAACUGAUGCUUUUGUAAAGUUUUCUUCUUCCACAUUUGCUACUUCUGAUUUCUGUUCUUCGAAUGUACAUAGUUAUUUUGCCUUUUUCUUGCCAAAGAUCAUUAGAUCUUGUACGAUUUUUCAUCUUUACUGUUAUCUUAAUCUCUAUGUGUUUUUACAAUGGAUUUUCUCAAUCUGACUUAAUUUGAAUUGCAAAAUAUUUUGAUGAUCUAAAAUAUCAGAAAUGUACGGCGAACAGAUAAUAGCUAUCUAUCUGACAAAAUUCAUCAUUUUUGAUUGGUUCAUCGGAUUGCAAUUUCAAAAUCGAACAUUCGUCAUGGUAUUCCAGUUGAAUCGAUAAAAAAAUUGAAGAAUCUAUAUAUAAUUUUUUAUAAAGAGAUUUUUAUUUAUUAAUCUUCAAAUAAUUUUUUUCAUUCAUUCAAAAUUUAAAUCUUAAAAUAUAAAUAUCCUAAUCUUAAUUUAAACAAAAAUAAUUGAGUCUUAAAACUUAUCAUUUUUUUAGAGGCGAUUUAGAUUAAAUAUAAAAUAAAGAUAUUGCAAAAUUACAAUAAAAAACAAUUAAGUAAACAAUUAAAAUUACGAUAGUAUAUGUGAAAUAGAUAUAGCUUGUUAAUCUUCGACUUAUAUAUCAGUAACCAAUAGCGAAACUUCUUCCUAUCUUCUGAUAGUUGUAUUUUCCAAACUUAACAUGUGUGAUUUCCUAUCCCACUUGCCGAUUUCCACAACCGACUCAUUGAUUCACUCGCGGAUCAUAGAAUCGCAUUCAUCACAACCAAAUCAGGGGUUUCCUUGUGGGAUCAACCCUAAUCGCUCGUGAACGACGGCGGCGAAAUUAACUCGAUCGCUGGCUCCUGGGAGGACUCGCUUGUGGUGGAGCAGCAGUGUUCGCGAUUUGCUGAUGCCGAUUAUGCGGCUCACGCGUCUCUCGCAGUGGAGCAACGGAAGGAAGUCAGCUGAAGCUUUUUGUAAUAGAGGAGUCUGUCGCUCGCGGAAAGUGGACGUGAUAUGUCGUUCACGGUCAGGGACGUUCGGUCAUUUUCUCGCUCAUCGCCCAAAGGGAACUUCACUUCGCUCGCUCUGCGCUCGCUCGAUACAGUGAUACCUAAGGUAAGUUUACAUUUUCUUAUGGAAAUCGGUAAAUGAGAAUAAUCUCAGAAUAAUCUAGUUUGAUCUAUGUGAUUGAAAUGGAAAAUUAAUGAAUGACUAAAAUCGAAAUAUUGAUUUAGUUCUUAGUGAUUUCUCGUCUGAUAAUUUAGCUAUUUGGAACAUUGGAGGUGGAGGUGGUGAAGUGAUGGUAGAAUAGACAGAAAAAAAUAAAUUUGGUCCUCCCUCCCAGUCCGUCCCAUCCAGUGCCCUUGGCGUGGCCCGUGCCCACAUUAGUGGUUGUAUUCUCAUUGUUGAGCAAGCAGUUAACAGGUUCAAAGUCUCUAGAAAAGCUAAAUGACGCCAGCAACAAAACAAGAUUAAACUGCCACGCUGCACAAGCAAAUACAAAAACCGUCAAAACCUGGAGCGAAUAUUCUACUAUACACGCAAUUUGACCAAGACUCAUGAAAUGAAUAACGAAGAAGUUGAAGGUCCAAUAUGCAAUAGUUUCAAUAAAACGGAAAUGGGUCAAUUCUGAUGGAUUUAAAGAAGUAGGCCGGAAUAGUUUUAUUAAAUGAGUUGGAAUAGAAUCAGGUAAAUUUCAUCUCUUUUCCUUAAUAAAUAAGCUUGAAGUCUAUUUCUGAAUUAAACCCUUAUCGUCUUGUCUUCAAGCUGUUGAUCUUUCUUUUUCAAAUAGUUGUCAGUUAGUAUCAAGGCCCGUCCAGACGGACCAUAGACCGAACAGAUCAGAAGGCUCAUGAAGGUUUCCUAUACAUACUUUCCUUGUGAGAGUUGUGUGUGCAAGCCGGGCGGAGCCCUACCCCCUUCGGGCCAGGGGGGGUACUGUUGGUACCAAGAUCCGUCCAGACGGAUCAUGAGCCAAACAGACCACAAGGCCCAGAAGGUCCGAGGAAAUUGAGAUUUAUUAAAAGGAAUAUCAAAGAGUUGUGUGUGUAAACUCCCGAGCCCACACACUAUCAUUGUCUUUGCAGGUGUUAUUGCUUCUACUGUGCCACUUUGCUUUGCUGUUAGUUUUAUCGAGUUUGGUUUUAUCCAACUUAUCAUCUUUGAAUUCUAAAUAUCCUCAUUCAGUUGAGUUUUUAACCGAGUCUUUGGUGAAUUCAAUUUAGUUACCCGACAAGAUAGUUAAUGUUAGAAUUGCUGUAUCUCUAACAAAUCAAAUCCAUUAACUCAUCUUUACUUACACGUUUAUUGUUGGACGCCGACACAUGAAUGUGCUCAAACCAACAUGUUUUUAUGGUUGUCGAUGAUAUUCACCGACUCCUCUCGCAUCUUUAUUUUUGUCUUUAUUUAUUUCCGAAAUAGUAGUUGAAUCGUCAGAUUGUCGACUUAUUUUUAACAUCAAAUAAUUUAAAAUCGCUGAGAAAUCAUGUGUUCACCAUGUGGGUGUUGAAUUUGGGGGUCUUGAACACAUUGAAAUUCAAAAUCUUUUUUGAUUCCUCUUCUCCUUUUUUAUUCCUUUUAUGUUCAUAAUUUUACAUACCUGUCGGCAAGUGGAAUCUAUUUUGUGGGUAGGCUUUUAUUAUUUCUUAAAACAGUUAGAUUGACUUAACUAAUCAGGGUAAUUAUUAAAGUUGUUGAUGAUUUUAGAUUCUAUUCUAACUGUAUUUUUAUUUAAUUUUGCUUGAAUUGUGAAUUUAUUUUUAAUUUUUGACGUAUCAACUAAUAAAUAGUACAAAAUAAUGGAAUAAUUAGAAUCAUAUAUUUCUAUCUGAAAUUUAUUGGAAGAAAAUAUUUGAAAAUAUCGUCUUGAUCAUAUAACAAUCAAAUUACAAAAAAAUUACAACCCAGACAAGUUUUGAAAUCGAUGUUUGUGACCAAUCUGCUCUAGUCUGGGGUUCUUGAAUUAGGGAUUAUUAGUUUUCUUUCUUCUUCAUUUCGAGUUUUCAACCACGUAAACUCCCCGCAGGUGUAGUUGUUGAAGAAGAGGAGGAAAAAGACUUGCUCUGCUCCAUCUUGUUCUUGUUAGCAAGUUUCUGGUUCACAUAUUCAUCCACAUCUCCGACAGAAGAGUACGAGCUUGUUGGGUAUGGAGCCGCGGAAGUCAAUCUGAAGUGAAUCCACAAAACCGACAUGUUAAAUAAUCAUCGUACACGUACGCUAUUUUUAGGAUACUUUUUUUAUAUGGACAGAUAGAUAUACCUCUCCUUCCUUUUCUCAAAGAACCUCUGAAGUGACUUCUUCCGGUAAAGCGGCAUAUCUGAAAAUUACGGACAAAAUACAACAGAUUUAGAAUCGAUCCUCCUCCAAUUAAAAAAACUCUUUGUGGGUUUUUUUUUACCUCCAUUUGAAUCCGUAUUGAACCGUUCCAUCAGAAUUCCUCUCUGUUGGUGUUGGUGUUGGUGUUGGUGUUGUUGUUGGUGGUGGUGUUGUUGUUGGUGUUGUUGUUGGUGUUGUUGUUGGUGUUGUUGUUGGUUUGGGGGCUGGGGCUGUUCUAUCUCUUGUUUGUGUUUCAGCUGAAUCUUCCCCUCUUCAGCCAUCUUCAUCAAAUUCGCAACCUGGAAUGCAUGAUUAUUGGUUAAGCACGAGAUAACAAGUGUAUAGAGAUGUGUCAGCAUGUCAGGUAAUGUCUUUACCACUUCAGCGGUUGCUUCAAAGUAAGAGAUGGUGCCAUUGUAGAAGAUGGUAAGAGGAGCCGUUUUAACCGGAGAAGGAGAUACCGGAGCAGGUUGGGGCCCUGUUGGUUGCGAGAUUAUAGAUUUGAGAAAAUUAGGGUUCAAUCUAGAAGCUGCGUUCUGGAGAUCUGUCGAAAUCCAAUCCAAAUCCAAGGAAGUUAUCGUCAGCAAAAAAACAAAAACAAAAAACUACAUGGAAGAAUUAAAGAGAGGGAAAUAACCUAAACAGAAAAGAAAAGAAAUUAUCAUCUAACCUCUAAUGGAAGAUAGUUUUUUGGAAUCGGAAGGAAGUUGUUGUUCCUGCUGCCUCUGUGUUCUCUCCAGACCAAGGAAAUCGAACUCCACAGGCAUGGUCGAUUUGGAUUUGUUCGUCUGACAGAUGAGGCGACGAUGGUGGUGAUUUAAAGAUGAGAUUGGAGGAGGAGGAGGAAGAGAGAAGGAUAUCAUAUUUAUUAUAAAAUCAAACUCAAUAAGAGAACAUGAAUGGAAAAUACGGAAUAAAGCAACGUGCUUAAUUGAUAAAUAAAAAAGAAUAUAAUUUCAGAUCCGUGUACAAUUUUACCCCUGGUUUUAAUAAAAUCGAAACUAACGUAAAUGAUAGGAACAAAAUCUUUUCCGAAUCUUGUGCAGCUCUAGUGAUUGGUGUGAAUAAUAUUAAGGGGUAGUUUCGGUAUUGAUUUAUUAUGUGGGCUGGGUUUCGAAACCAGGUCUCCCUAUUAAAAAAAUAAUAUUAAAUAGUUGGCGUGGAUAAAGGAGUAAAGAGUCAUGGACGAGAAAAACGUGCAUCAAUAUUUAAAUUCUAAAUGAAAAUUUAAUUAAUAUCAGCCUAAUUUUCAUUGACUGGGUGGUCGAAUGGUAGUUAUCUUUGACUCCUCCUCUUUGGAUCUCUGUAUUCUGUUUUAUUCAGGCUUUUGGAAAUUUCUUCGUUCGUUCUCAAAAUCACGUAAUAUAUCGUCAGUUAAAUCCUACUAAAAUUUAAAUAAGAUAUGUAAAUAACAAGAUUCGAACUUUGGAUUCUCAGAAAACUUAAAAUUGGUCAGGACAUCAAGAAACAAACAAAAGUUCGACGAUUCCAAAUCUGGUGAGAUGUCACCUGAUUAAUAAUGAUAAUACUUAAGUUUGGAUUAGCGAUGUUGUUUAGAUCAUUUAGGUUACCUAAUUUGAAGUUUCCUUUAAAGUUCCUACCUAAUUAAAAAAAACAUAAACGUAGACUAUUAGUUUUCUUUUUAUAAUAAAAUCGUGAUAAAUAUACUCAAAAAAAUAGUACACCACGUAACAAUGAACUCUGCUGACCCUAAUCCUAUAUAUAGACGUAUUUGAAAGUUACAAAUAAUACAACUCGUGGUACAAAAAAGUCACUUGGUUUUGUUUACAAGUUGGUCUUUUGAUGUUAAUUUGACAUUGAUUAAUGCUCGAGUUUCAAAAUCUAAACACAAUGUAGAACACACUUUAGAAUUCAAAUUGAGAAUUCAAAAUUGGGAAUAUAAAAUGAUCCAAGUUUCGAUCUAGAAAAUAACAUUAAAAAAUUGAAUGGGUAACAUUUGUCAACGAAAUCAGGUGAUCUUUGGGACAAUCAAGAUUAAGAUAACUUCAUUUUCAAGCUUGUAAAUGAAUAAUUAAGAUCAGGUUCGUGUCCAACAUAUUUAAUUUAUCCACAAACAAAUCAUAAUUAACUUGAUAUUAUAAUCAUAUUAAUUUUUGUUUAGUGGCUAUUUAGUUCCAUCUUUACUCUUUAAUCAUUUAAGAUGGAUGUGUUAUAGAUUAUAAUAAUAUUAAUAACCAUUUGAGAUGAGUUUGUUAAAAAAUAAAAUCAUUGUCACUUUCUCAUUACAUCACAUUUCUCUAUUUUCUACUCACUAAUUGAGUUGAUUAUAACUAAACCCCAAUGGGCCUCAUGGGCUGUGAAUUGAGUUUAUUACCAUGGGCCUCAUAGUUAUAAGUGGUUGAUUAAUUAUUAUACUGUUAGGACUUAAUUAACAUUGUAUGAUUUAUUUUAUAUCUGCAUGCAAUUAACCCAAAACUCAAUAAAAUGUUAUUAAAGAAGUUUGGGGAGCAGACUGCAAGACUUUCAAUAAAAGUCAUGGGACCAAUUCAUACUGGACCAAAUCCACGAAGCUCAAAAAAAUACAAUGUUUGGUAAGUUAAACUAAUUCUGACCGUUCAUUUUCUAGUUUUAUUUCGAUAAUAAUCCUGAUUUAUUAAUAAUGUAAAUCUCUAAAUCACCAGUAAUUAAAUUCAACCAAGUUUGCAUUUUGUUUACCGACUAUUGACAGCAGAUGCAAUGAUGCAAACAGAAAUGACGGUUGUUUCAGUUGCUGGGCAUCAGCGGCAGCAGCAGAAGAAGAAAAUGACGCCCAAACUGUAAGUCAUAGAAGGAAUAACUAAAAUUAAGAAUGUUAAUUAAAGAGCAAACGAGCUCCAUUGAAUGUAUGUAUGUAUGUAUGUACGUACCAUCCGGUGCAAAAACCAAGGCAUGUGUCGUGAGGGCGGUCCGGCGGUGGAGGUGGCGAAGGAGCAUGGUGCUGUCCUUGUUUAAAAUAUCCCUGGUAACCUUCAGUGGGGCGGACAUCGAGAUGUGAAGAUGGUGGUUGGUGGUGAAUUAAAACUAGUGCAAAACAGUGACGAUAAGAGUUGAUACAAAAAAAAAUUAGAAAGGAAGAAGGUUUCUUAAUUAGUUCUUACCAUGGUGUUCGUUACUCAUCUCUCCGACGUCCCGUCGAAUUGCAGAGUCGAUGUUAAAAAAAAUUAGAUUCACGAUCGAAUCCGAUUAAAGAUUUCAACAAGUAGUAGGUAGAGAUUUUUUCCCCCCUCUUUUUGUCAAUAAAGCUGGUAGGUAGCACAACGUGGCAACACGAUUAAUGAAAAAUGAAAAUAAUAUUUGAUUUUCAAACUCACAGAAUUAAAAACACAUAAGCUUUUGAUUGAAGAAAUGUAGGAUCGACAACAGUAGUAGUUUUAAAUAUAAAACAACACGAUAUAUAAUUCAAUCCAAAACUACUUCAUGAACAAGACAUCAAACGACCAAUCUAAGUACAUAUGAUGUCGGGACUUCUCUUUCACAACAAGGUGUUAAUUGACAGAAUAGCAACAGCAGAAUAAACCCAAGCAGCACAGUUAGGGUUUUGUGUAAAAAAAUGAUAUUGUUCUUCGAUUCUGUUUUUUUUUUUUAAUUAGGGUUUUGUUUAUAAUAAUACCAAAUCAAAGAUUCAUCAGAUAAUAAUCAUAAUACAGCAUAUUUAUAAUCAAAGAACACAGGGUUUCGAUUAUUACAGCAUAUUUAUAAAUAUGGCCGAAUAAAGUGCCGUGUCCAAAAAACAACAACACCCAAAUCCACAUAAAUUAAUUCCAAACACUACUGACAUAAUAAUAGAUUAUUUGAUUAGAUUCUGACUCUCCUUCCUCCGAUCGAUCGCCAUCCUUUAGAACUGGCCGGAACAACCACUAGCUAGCAUGCAGUGCAUGUUCGGUCUUAUUUAAUAAUCUGAAAAUUAAUAAAAGUUGGGGUCAAAAUUAACUAGGACUGUCGUGAUCACUAUAUAUAUUUACCGGUAUAUUAGAUAUAGAUGGAUGGACGUUCAGAAAGGAGAGCUGGGGCAGCAGUUGCAUCAUCAACGACGGUGGUGAUGUGGGUUGUGAUGGUGGUGGUGUGGUGGUGGUGAAUGAUGCACAACUGGGGGAGGUGGAGGGUGGACUACAACCACUGGAGGAGAGUGAUGCGGUGGAGGCGGGGGAGGAGCUUCCUUCACAACCACCACCACAGGAGGUGGGGAUGGUGUAUGGUGAUGAUGCUUCCCUGCAAACAAAAGAUAUAUCAAUUACCCAAUUCAGUCAGUCAUAAAAUAUUAUUGAAAACUGCUGAAGCUUUAUAAUUCAGUCAAGAAAGUGAAAAAAGAUCUGUGAUGAACUUACCUGG